GUAACAACACUUCUACACAAGGGUUCUAUUUAUAGAACCACUUGCGUGGGCUGCAAGCUAAAAAGCCCACUCAAGUGUAUAAGGCCCAUAUCUUAUAAUAUGCCAAAAUCACUUAAGCGCGUGGUACCUUACCAUAUUUCGUAUUCUACUUAACUACACCGUACCUUACGAUGUUCUAUAAUUCACUUAAGGGCACCGUACAUUACGGUAUUCCUUAAUUACUCUAUCUCUUAUCAAUCCGUCCUUUGUGUGUGACCCUAUAGGUUUUCGCGGUGUUGACAAUUAUAUUAAAUCACGUAUUUAACAUAAUAAACAGUGAGCGGUAUCUAGAAACACAUCACUGCUACCCAAGACACGAAAAUGUCAUGUGAUCUGACAAAUCCUUAUGUGAUAAUAAUUAUGUGUAUAAUUACCCUUUUGUCCUUAUGUCUAUAUUGAACACAAGGCAUAGACCGUGCCAUCCUUGUCCAGUUCAAUAUUGGGCCCAUAUACAUUUAUCCUGUUACGCAGGAUGGGCAAAUUCCAUCUAGGUCACUCAUGUCCCUUAGCAUGCUUCGUGGAGUACCCAUCAACUGUCUUUAUGGUCAUCCAAUUACGGACAAUGUUUGAUCAGCAAUACGUUUAAUGUAUCAAGUAUGACUUAAUCAUUGAGAUUACAUUAAUAUAAGGACACUAUUCUUAAAGUAUCCGUAGUCAAGCUUUAUUGUGAAGUGGAUAAUAUUAAGCAUGAAGACUAUUAUGUUUAUGGACUGAUGAUCACAUCUCAUGGGAUCAUGGAUAAGAGUUUCAAGUCUUAACAUAGGUAUGAAUAUUAAGAGUAAUAAUUUAUACUGGAUUGACCCGCUAUGAGAAUACUAUAUAGAAUGUAUAUGCAAAGUGUCAUAAGUUAUUCUCAUGGUGAUAAUGGUGUAUACCACCUUCGACCUGAAACCACUAUGGACCCUAGAUGUAGAAGUCGGCCUUAUUGCUGAUCAAACAUUGUCCGUAAUUGGAUGACCAUAAAGACAGGUGAUGGGUACUCCCACGAAGCAUGCUAAGGGCAUGAGUGACCUAGAUGGAAUUUGCCCAUCCUGCGUAACAGGAUAAAUGUAUAUGGCCCAAUAUUGAACUGGACAAGGAUGCACGGUCUAUUGCCUUGUGAUUCAUAUAGACUAAGGACAAAGGGUAAUUAUACACAUAUAUAUCACAUAGGAUUUGUCAGAUCACAUGACAUUUUCGUGUCUUGGGUAGCAGUGAUGUGUUCUAGAUACCGCUCACUGUUUAUUAUGUUAAAGUGAUUUAAUAUAAUUGUUACACGCGAAAACUAUAGGUCACACACAAAGGACGGAUUGAUAAGAGAUAGAGUAAUUAAGAUACCGUAAUGUACGGUGCCCUUAAGUGAAUUAUAGAACAUCGUAAGGUACGUGUAGUAAGUAGAUACGAAUAUGUAAGGUACACGCGCUUAAGAUGUUUUGGCAUAUUAUAAGAUAUGGGCCUUAUACACUUGAGUGGGCUUUUUAGCUUGCAGCCCACGCAAGUGGUUCUAUAAAUAAGAACCCUUGUGUAGAAGUGUUGUUAAAGUUGAAAUUUUGUUUCUCUCUUCUCUCUCUCUCUCUCUCUUCUCUUCUCUUUCUUUCUCUCCUCUCUUCACACACACAACUCAAAAGCCUUCAUUCGUAGCGUUAGCACUGAGAUUGAAGGAAUCGUUCGUGUGGACUGGUAGAGGCGUUGUCAUUGUUCAACAUUCACGUCUGCUCUGUAGACUGCAUCAAAGGUUUAAUCGCCACAGAGGUAACGAUUAUAUCACUUAUCAUGCCAUUCGUAAGGAUCAUAAGGAGAAUUUUAAUUCUGCUGCGUUUGGAUCGCGUUCUCCUUCAGUGGUACAGAGCCACUUACGAAACCAUGCAUCUAAAGCUGUUAUUUUCGUAUUUUCUGUAUAAUACGAUUAAAAGACAGAAUGAAUCAAAGAUAAUACGAGUAAUAAAUUAAGAUCGAUCAAGUUUAUAUAUGGAUAAGUAAUCUGAUGCAAAUACGAUAUAUAUGAUAUACUGUUUUGUUUUCAUUCAUUCAAACACUUAUGGUUGUUUCCUUUGAGCGAUCAAUGGUCGUUGCUUCUGGAUCUGACAUUAGUAUGGUAAGCAAUGCGUGUUGUCAAUCAACUGAAUCAACAAUCGAGAUGUGUUUGACGGUUUGGAAAUUAUGCAUUAGGUUAAUGACGGCACAAGGGUUGUUGGCAAGAGUUAUGCAUUAGGGUUAAUGACGGCACAAGGGUUGUGUUGUCAAAGGUUAUGCGAUUAGGCUGUGACUAUGCAAAGUUUGCUUUAAAAGUAUCAAGUGUUCAUGCGGAAAAACGACGCGAUUUCAAAUGAAUUGUUCAUUAAAAAUUUCGGCCAGGGGCGCCUGCCCCUUUAACCCCGCAAUGAAUGUUCCGCAACCGGGUAGCGGACCCCGGCUAACUCUGCGUAGGUGUGAGUCCGCGCGAACUUAAUUUGGUUUAUUAAUUAAAAGAAUUAAAAUUAAUAAUAAUAAUGUUUUAUUAUUGCUUAUGGUGAUCGGUUAUUGGCCUGUUUUCCUUUUUUGUUUGGGUUUAAAUCGACCUACGUCUCGUGCCUCUCUUUUAAUCUCUUAAUGUAACUUCUUUCUCAUCUCACUCCCUGCUAUGUAAAGCGAGUUUCUUUUGUAUGUAAUUUAUGAAGAAAGAGAAGAUUCAAUAUCAAGUGAGGACAACCUGAAGAUCUUGCUUGGAAAGUUAGAUCGUAUUAGGUAGCUUAGGUUCUCUCUGGCUUGGAGAACAAUUGCGAUAAGGGGCCAUAACUGUUCAUUAUGGUAUGUUGAUGCAUGGAUGUAUGCUUGAUGCAUGCUGAGAGACAUUGUAUAUAAAUAACAGUGGGAUCAGUAAUAAUUGCAAUUCCCUCAAAUAAAUAUUAAGUUUAUGUUUUCCAAGUUUAACACUCAUCAAGAUAGUACGGAUAAUGUAGGUCGCCUACGCGAGGUGCAUGUCUAUAUUAGUAAGGUGCGAUGGGAUAAUUGUAAUAUCAAUGUUAAAUUGGGUCAAACUAACUAAACAAAUUAUAAUAGGUAUAUAUGUUUAGAAGCAAGAGUUGGAAAUGAUCCAUGUGAUGGAUUGGAAUAAGGAGUUAUUCACCAACUAAANCAUGAUUAAGUCAUACUUGAUACAUUAAACGGACUAGCUAUUCUAGGGACUUUAUUAAACAAACAUAAUAAAGAAAAAGCCUUUUAUUAUUAAUAAAUAAUUCGAUACAAGUACCAAAAGUAUUGGCCUCUAGGGCUUACACCAACACCGAGAAGGUGACCUCGUGCUUAAGAAAGUUUUGUCUUUCGCGCCCGAUUCCAUGGGCAAGUGGACUCUAAACUAUGAAGGACCAUAUGUUAUUAAUAGAGCCUUUUCAGGCGAUGCUUUGAUACUCACAACUAUGGAUGGGGAGGAUUUCACUCGUCCUGUGAAUUCAGAUGCAGUCAAGAAAUACUUCGCCUAAAUAUAAGAAAAACAGAAUAGCUCGCUAAGUUGAAAACCCGAAAGGGCGGCUUAGGAAAAAAUGAGCGUCUCGGUGGAUUGAAAACCCGAAAGGGCAGUCCAGGCAAAAGUUAGAGACAUAAAAAAAAUGAAUAUACAUCCCGCUAGAUUGAGUACCUCACCCUGGGGCAAUCUAGGCAAAAAUUAUGGAUUUGACAAGUAACUGCAUCCUGACAAGACGUUGUUUUUCAACUGUCAUAUGUCAAAGAUUCUCGCUCAGUCGUCGUCAACUGAAGUUUCAAAUACAUUGGAUUCAGAGUUGGUGGAGAAAUGGUCAUUAUGUUCAAUGUAGCCCUUUUUCCAAUAUAUAUCACCAAUUUCAAAUUUGUAAAAAUCUAUGGAGUCUCGCCAUUUGCGGACUACCAUUCUAUCAAAUAAAUUUGAGCCUUUAUCCAUUUUUUUUGCACUCUUAUUUGUUUAUGCUCAACAAAUGUUUGCAUGUUUUAAUUGAUAAAUAUCAUUGUUUCAAACAAAUAAAGUUUUUAUAAAUUGUUUUGAACAAAGUGAACAUUCACAAUGACUGAAAGGAUAAAUGGAAUGUCUUCAGUGCUCUCCCAAUGAUAGUAUGAUCUCCAAAGGGUAAGACAUUUGUUCAUAUUCUGGCAUGUUUGUAUCCUUUUCAUAGUCUUUCAGGUUGUCUCCCCAACGAGCGCAGAAAAAAUAAAACAUCCUCAACUCCCCAGAGAGCCUGGAGUUUUGGCCUCGAUCUUUUAGAGACGUGUAUACCUCUAUAUCAGGCACUAGCAUUUGUGUUUUAUCAAUUAUAUGGUUGUCAUCCCUUAUGUGGACUGACCUAAAAUCCCUUAUAGAUUGAUAAAAGUUGAUAUGCUAUUCAUGAGGAAGUUUGUCUUUCCCCAGUGAGCAAAAAUUCCCCGCAUGAGUAGAAGUCCUCAACGAAGUAAGCAUGUGUUCCCUGCUAAGCUAUCUUUCAGAUAUCUCCUCAGCAGUAGUUGCCUAGAGCAGUUGGUGAAGGGUUUGUUCCCUUUUCAUCCCUAGCAUGGCACGUGUUGACGUAGGAUUCGUUUCCGAUUCCCUCAACCAGGACAGUUCCUCCGGAGGUACUUGUAGUUAUCCCCAAUAGAGUUGCUUGCAGCAGACUAUCACCAGUAUGAUCGCCUAUAGUCCCUUCCUAGUGGAGUUGCAUGAUCCUAGCUUGACAUUUGUAUCCCCUCUGUGGUUGAAAAUUUCUUCUAGUAUUGGACGACGAUGAGAAAGAUGUGUUAUUUCCUUCCCCAGCGGAGCCAAUGGUUCUCUCUCUCCCCUAGCAGAGAUGUCCCUCCAGCAGUUAAAAGGGAGUGUUUGAUUGAUGUGUAUCUGUUUGGUGGUUGUUCCCCACAGAAUCUCACAUUAUCCCCUGAUAAGAUCCCCAGUAGAGUUCUUCUAUGACAAAUCUUAUUGAUAUCUCGGCAUGUUCCCCAGCCGAGACUUUGCCUGUCCCUAGCAGUGGUCCAUGACUCUUGGUAGUUGAUGUAUCCCCACCAGAAUUGAUUUUUCCUGUGGGCCCGACCUUUCUCUUUUGAUGUUAUACCGGAUGUCUGUCCAUUGAUUCUCGGACCUGUUUAUGUUAGAUAUAUCUGUUUGUCAGCAUUAAUCAUACAUAAACCACGCAUAUACAUGCAUAAUUAUGGCAUUCAGAUAUUCAUGUUGCAUUCUUUUCCAUAUAUCUUUGCUUGCUAUCUCCUUCUAUUAGUGAAACAUUUUUCCCCAAGCAGAUGUAUGUGUCUGAUCUCUCCAUAUAGAGUCAGCCCCAUAGGCAGAAAGUGUCUAUCUUUCUUUCCAUAUUCCCCACUGAGUUAUGUCAUCGUGGAUGAUUAUUGUUUCAAUUUCCUCCAUCAUGUUUGGAUUUUCCAUGUGGGACUUUUGAAGAGCUCAAUGUUUAGGUUCAAUUAUGCAAUUCACAUCAUAACUUCAUGCACAAGCUAAUGCGACUCCAAUUACAUAUUUUAAAAUUUUCUUGCCAAUGUGGCAAAAAUUUUCUUGAAAAAUCUAGUUUCAUAUUUUAAAUUUUAAUUAUUUUUAUGACUUCAUUUAAUAUCUUUUGUGAAUUAUUUGGUUUUUAAUAGUUUUUAAUUCAUUUUAAAUACUUUUUGAUAUCUGAAAAUUCCCAAAAAAUAUUUUCUUAACACAUAUGGAUCAUGAUGAGUCAAUGAAAAAUAGUCUCAUCAAUUUCUUAAUUGAUUUGAGAUUUAUUUGAGAUUUUAAUUCAUAAUGUGUUAUUUUUAAUUGAUUUUAAAUAGUUUCUGAUUUCAAAAAUUGUUGAAAUUUUUUGUCAAACCUUGUUUGACCAUGUUAGACCUAUGAGAAUUUAAUUGGACUUGUUUAAGUUGAUUUGAAUUGAAUUUGAGGUUUGACCAUAUCUUGUCCUUUUUUAAUUUUGCAUUUAUUUUAAUUCCAAAAAAUACCAAAAAAAAAAUGUUUGACUUGUUGACUUCUAGUCUUCAUUUCUCUUCUGUUUUACAUUGGUUGAUGAUGAUUUGAUUCAUAUUUGAUCAUUGUGUUUCGACAUUUGAAUUCUCCUUUUAUUCCAUUUCAUCUUCAUCUUAUUUCUUUUACUUUGGCCAAUGAGUUAAUGUCUUAUGGUUGGUCUUGACAUAUGAGAGGCUUAAUCUUCUUUGAUCCAAAUCAAACUCAACUUGAUCCAUGAUCAAGUGAGUUGCUUUGUGUCAGUUUUGUUUCAGUUAUGUAUUGGGAUGAAAUUACUCCCCUGAGCUAUAUCCUCAUUGGGUUGAGUUUUGUUUCAUUGUGUCUUUCUGGUUUGUUCCUGGAUUGACUCCCUUCUUGUUUUUCCCCCUGCAGCUUCCUGUGGUUUAAUUGUUCAAUUGCUCAGUAACCAGUAAUUGUUCAUCUUCUCCCCAGCGGAGGUGUUGGCCUUCUACCCAAUAACUGGUAGUUGUAAGUCCUUUUUUUGUGGUUUUCUACCCAGUAACCGGUAGAUGUAAUCCCCUCUUUGAUUGGUUAUCUUUAUUCGGUAUUGAUAUUCCUUCAUUUUUGAGUAUACCACCCAGUAACCGGUGAUAUAUCUCCUGGAUAAUUGUUGUUGUCAAUGUAUCCCCAGCGAGUCAUCCUUCAUUUACCCUUGUUCGGUAAUGAUGGUUUCUCCCUUUUGGUUCGUCAUCAUUUUAUACCCAGUAACCGGUAUCCCGAUGUCCUUUCUUUUCGAUCGAUUUAUCCUUUAUUAACCCAGUAACCGGUUGUGGAUAAUCUUCCAUGCGAGUAUGUUAUCUACGUUAUGACGGUAAUAGAUAAUAUAUCACACGCGCUCUUCAGUCGAAGUCUUUGUUCUUCCCCAGUUGAGUAAGAUUCGUAUUUCCUUAUGGAAUCGAAUGUCCAUCCUGUAAGUCGAGUUUGCUUUUUCAGCCCUCCUUUCGGAUGAUGAGUGUCUUGGAUAUGUUCCCAAUUCACGCCUGGUUGGUCACCUAUUAUAUGCCCAGUAACCGGUAUCUCUGGUGUUCCUUCCCUCUGCUCCCUAUUAUGACUUUUUGUCCCCUGUGGAGUCAGACUUUCCUGAGUUGAGAUGUGCCUUUUGGGUCCUCCUCAGACAUUUCGGAUGAUUGAUAUCUCUCACCCUUAUACCGGUCCUAGAUUUUCUUUCUCCCUGAGCAUGUUAUUCUCUCACCUAGUAACCGGUGUUUUGAUCACAUGUCUCUCCUUGAGUUUAUUACCCAGUAACCGGUAAUAUCUCGUUGUUUCUUCCUCAUCUGAGUUUCCUUUAUUGGAGUUUCCCCAUAUGAGUCCGGAUUUUUAUCCGAAGUAUCCUUUGCGGAUAGUUCUGUUGUAUUGGCAUAUUCCCCAAUACAUGCAUCUUUGCGUCAGCUCGAUUCUUUCCAUCGAUUUAUUUUCGUGGAAUCCCUUCGUGUCUCCCAGCAAGUUUUCAAGUCGUGCCCUGCUCACACAUUUUUACCCUAUUUUUCCCCGGAGUCUCUGUCUCCCUAGUGAGUGUGUCACUCCUAGAGAUUUUUCAGUUUCUCCUGAUUUCUUUUCCUUUGUGGCAAUUAUUCACUACGAAGAGUUUUAUUUUUGCAUGCAUACAUUUGCAUCAUGAGGUCUCUUAGGGACCAAAAUUCAUCUCUUUGUUAUUAUUUAAGCCCAUUCUACCUCGUUGAGACAAAGAUUUUAACCUUCAUAUAUCUAGCUAGAAUGAACUUAAAUAGGGGCAUCUGUAAGACCCUAAUUUUGACCCUAAGAUCCCUCAUGGCAUCAUAUCAUUUACUUUAUGCAUUGCCUCAAGGAUCAUAACAUGUGUGGCUCCUUAACCCUUGGGUUGGGACUUGUGUGAGUGGUUUGAGAUCACCAAGCAUGCUUGAAUUGUAUAUUAUUUUCUUUUCUUAUUUUGUUUACUAACCAAAAGCACAAAAAUAUGUCACUAACUCUUUUUGUUUUGAAGCUCAAAUGAUCAUGUGCUCCAAUGCUCCUAGGAGGCUCCUAAGCUCAGUGAAAUGGUUAAAUGAGGAUGAGAACAAGCAUGACAAUGGACCACAAGGUUCCUAAUCAUCAUAUAUGUAUCCUAAUUAUCUCAAUUUGCCAAUUUGAUCAAGAUAACCCAAAGGGCUUGAGGAUUGUUUCCCAAGGAAACCCUAAUUCAACUGUGCUUUGACAGUGCUUUGCUCAUGAAACAACCUCAACCUAUGAUCAAAUUAAAUCAAGGGAAGUUCUUUCAUUAAUUAUUUUAUGCAUAUAUGAGCCUAUUUGAGUAUCCUCAAUCAUUCAUUCAUCAAGAUUUGAAGUUUGGCCUUGAGAAGUUGACUAGUCAAGUCAUCUGACCAAACUGAGGAUCAUUGAGACACAACUUUUGAUGUGUUUGUUAAAUAAAGAUGACCCCAAGAGAAAAUUUGUUCUUACGAACAAUAUGAACAACUUUCAUUUUCAUCAAAAAUCCAUUUUAAACUUUGAAGGUCAUCAUUCAUUUCAAAACAUUAUAGGUCAUUUUGAUUGAAACCCUAAUUUUGGGUCAACUUCCCAAGGACCUAACUUCUUUAUUUUUUAUGAUUUUGAGGUGAUACAAAUUGAAGUGGAAAUAUUAAGAUGUCUACUUAAAAUGUUAUGUUGUACAAAAUUUCAUAAUCCCAAAAGAAACACAUGUGAUAAUACAAAACAUUAUAGGUCACUUUGGACCAAAGCCAUUGAAUUUGAAAAAUUUCCAACUUUCUCAUUAAAAAUCCAAAUGAUGAAAACUUUAAGUCCAAAUUGAUCAUCUUGAAAAUAUAUACAACUUUUAUGUUUAAUGUUUUUCCAUUUGAGGCAUGCAUCAUUGAAACACAAGGGCUUGAAGUUGCUUAUUUUUGGCAAAUUUUUCAAAGACAUGUUUUGUACCCCAAACUUCAAAGUCAGUUUUCAUAAAUUUCCACACUCCAAAUUGAUUUUUGUGCAACAUAACUUUUAUUCCUUAUGUCAAGAUCUUUCCAACCAUUACUCACAUGCCCAUGCUUGGAUUUUUUAAGUAUGACUUUCAAAGAGGGGAACAUUUGUGACCAAUUAUGCAUUUCACUUUGAAACUUCAUGCACAAGCAAUUGCAAUUCAAACUACACGUCCAAUCCACUUCAGAGUGAUACCAGCUUGCAUUUCGAAUUGAUUUUGGGUCUCACGUGCGCCUGUACAGGCCCAUGCAUGGAGGACCCAAGGAUCAUGCACGCGAGUAUUUUCCCUCCUUGCCGUGUAGCUCAGCUAUAAAUACCAUGCUUGCUUCAUUCAAUGGAGAACCCUGAAUUCAACCUGAAGCUCUGCAGAAUUGGAAACCCAACAAUACCAAAAGAACUCUCAUUUUUAAUUUCUCAUUUCAAGUUUAAAUUUCAACAAAAUCAAUUGAUCUUCAAUACUUAUUCCUUAGCCUUGCACUCAUAUCACAUCUUAAGAUCAAAUUGCAAGCAAGAAUUGGAGCAGAUCGUGUUGUUUAAAGCUGCACUUCAAAGGUUUAUGAUCCAACUGUUUUGAGCGAUAUCUCAUCAUAUAUUGUGAAUUGCUUGUGUUCAAUUGGUUUUCUGAAGUCCUCGUGUGAGAGGCAAGCCAACGGUGGCUUUGAUUUCAUGUUUUAGAACAUUUGAGUUUGAACACCUGGAAAUUCAAGCUCAGAUUUCUCAUUCCAUAGAGAUCUUGAGAGAAAUCCAAGGUUACAGGGGUGAUGUACAUCACCCUAGCUUCAUUUUGGUAUAAGGAUCAUGCAUUUUGGUUGAGGUUUGAAAACCUGCAACUGGUGGUCGGAAAUAGUUAGUUCACCGGAGAAGACGGUGGUUUCCACCACCGUCCCCACGUGGAAUCAUCUGGCCCCUUGGAUCUCCUUCCAGCGUUCUAAUCCUGACCUUUUGUUUAUUUGACUUUUUUAAAUCCAAUGUGUUUCGCGCUUGACUCGUGCCUACCAUGGAAGCGCGCCUCUAAGCCUUUGAUUGUGUCCACGCCAUUUAAUGAAAUGGAUCAUGCAAUCCUGGUUUUUUCACAUUUUCUAUUUUUCUGUUUUAUUUUCUUUUAUUCCAUUUAUUUUCAAAAAUUCAUAACUAUUUUAUUUGGAAUCACAAAAAUAUGAGACCAAUUGCAAAAAAUUUCUUGAAAAAUCUAGUUUCAUAAUCUGAUUUUUUUAACUAUUUUAUUUGGAAUCACAAAAAUAUGAGACCAAUUGCAAAAAAUUUCUUGAAAAAUCUAGUUUCAUAAUCUGAUUUUUAAUUAUUUUUGUGAUUCCAUUUAAUAUUUUUUGUGAAUUAUUUUAUUUUUGAUAUUUUUUAAUUCAUUUUAAAUACUUUUUGAUAUUCAAAAAUUCCAAAAAUAUUUUCUUAACACAUAUGGAUGAUGAUAGGUCUAUGAAAAAUAUUCUCAUCAAUUUUUCAAUUGAUUUGAGAUUUAUUUGAGAUUUUAAUUCAUUUGUGUUAUUUUCCUUUGUUUUUAAUUAUUUUAAAAUAGUUUCUGUUUUCAAAAAAUGUUGAGAAAAUUUGUCAAACCUUGUUUGACCAUGUUAGACUUAUGAUGAUUCAAUUGGACUUAUCCAAGUUGAUUUGAAUUAAAUUUGCAGUUUGACCAUAUUUUAUUCAUUUUCAUUUAUGCUUUAUUUUAAUUCCAAAAAUACCAAAAAUACCAAAAAUAUGUUUGACCUUUAUUGACUUCUACUCUUCAUUUCACAUCUAUUUACCAUUGAUUGAUGUUGAUUUCAUUCACAUUUGAUCAUUAUGUUUUGAUUAUGUCAUUUGAAUUCUCAUCUUGUCUAUUUCAUCUUCAUCUCUCUUCUUCUUCUUUUUUCUUUUGGCCAAUGAGUUAAUGAUUAAUGGUUAGCCUUGACAUAUGAAAGGCUUAACCUUAUUUGAUCCAAAUCAAAUUCAACUUGAUCAAAGACCAAGUGAAUUGCUUUGUGUCCAAGAUAGGUUGCUUCUUGGUCAAGCAAAAAACCUAAAAUCCAUACAAGGCCUUUUCUUCUUUUCUUUUGGCAUGGCAAGUUGUAGGAGCUUGACUUACUAGUCAUGAUCUCUAACUUGUGUUUAUUUUCCUAUAGUUUUAUUGAUCGACCUCAGAUAGGUGUGACUACUACAUUAGUCCACUUAGAAUUGCUUAACAUAACGCUAAAUUGUCUUAUGACACACUAACAUUAAUUACUAACACUAACUUUAGUUCAAGCAUUUAAUUCUUGCAAUUUACUUUAAUGCAAUUUAAUUUCUUACUCAUUUAUUCAUAUUGCCUUUUCCCUUUACUCACUUGAGCUCAUAUUUUAUGUUUAUGCCAUUUUCCUUUUGCUCACUUGAGCUCAUUAUUGUGAAUAAAUGUAUUGUUGCUUUGUGCUUGUUUUGUGAUUGUUUGUGUGAACCCAAUGCAAAAAGGAGAAAGGACUUAGAAUUAGGCCCUUACCUAUGCUCAAAGGAGUUCAAGAGCAACUAGGCCUCAUGCCUUUAGAAUGCUAAGUUUGUUGAAGAGCAACUAGGUCUCAUGCCUUUAGAAUGCUUAAUCUUAAAGUUGACUUGAAAGGACCCCUAAUCUAAACUCACUCUUUGUCCAUUCCUCUUAUUGCAUUGUGAACUUUUUGAUUGUUUGUUCUUGUGUGGUAGGGAUCCCAAACUUGAGAUAGUAAGAAGGACCAUUGUCAUGAGCAUCCAAGUUAAGAGAUACAAGUCCAAAUGGAGAUCCUAGGAGCUUGAUUGAAUAUUUGUUUGAUUGCUUGAGUUAAUUGCUAAGUCCAAAGGAAAGGAGCAUCUUGAAUCAUCUUUAUGAUCUCAAGAAAGGGAACUCCAAGGGUUUUAUCUCUUCUCUUAUCUUUGCAUGUUUAUGACUAGCCUUUCUCUUCUUCUCUUCACUCUAACCCAAGCCAAACUCAUUUUGUGCAAACAUUGACAUUGUUUUCAAAUUAGAAACCUAGGCCUUAUGCCUUUGAUUUUUCAAACUCUUUUCAUUAAUACUCAUUGUAAAUAAACCUUAAUUCAUACUUUGACCUCAUUUUGUGAAUACUUCUAAUUUGUAAAUACAACUCAUUUCAAGUGCUUUUUUGGUUUCAAUGGCCACCUUUCUUAAAACUUUUUCAUAAACAUUAGCCAUAGGUUUGAGUUAUCAUAGUGGUUGAUGUAAACCUCACCUUAUCCUUAGUGAUUAUACUAUAAGUCUUCCAUACUUAUUAUAGGGUGGACCCCUCACUAGUAUGUUGAAGCUCUCCUCACAUGGUGGAUUGUUGGUCUAGGUUGAGUUUUCUCCCUUUGAUAACGAAAGACCUUAAGGCUUUUGAUCAAAUCAAUUCACCCGUAUUUUUGAGAUUUUUACCCCGAACUACGAGGUUUUGAUCCUACAUUUGUGAUGGUACGUAGGCAAUCGGUUCAUCCAUUCAAACAACAAAACUGUAAAUAAUAUGUACAUUAUUUUCUCAUCUCUCCUAUCUUGUUUGCACAAAUAUUUUCACAAAUACCAACCUACAAUACACUUUGCAAAAAGGGCUCCCUUGGAGUACUAAGGAUGUUUUGGGUGCUUGAAACCUUCCCAUUGCAUAACCAACCCCCUUACCCAGAUCUCUGACAUUUUUAUUAGUUUUUGAUUUGAUAAAACUAUUUAGUUUUUGUUCGCUUUCUAACCUUUCCUUUGGAUAAAUAGAAGUGCGGUGGCGACUCAAAUUGUAUGAUUUACUUUUGAUUUAGUCAAUAAAUCUAAAGGUAACGAAUACCCCGCUACAGUUGCAAGUCACGAGCAUGGAGUCUGGGUAAGAACCAUCCCAAAGGAGUGAACUAAGGAUAAAACCUGUAGAUCAUGUUCUAAACAGUUCCCAGAGUCUUAAUUCCAUCUAUCGGAUAUUACAGGUUAAGAUGACUGACACAUCGACCCAUAAUAUUCUCAAGAGAAACUCGUCUGAGUGUAGUAUCGCGUAACAACUGUUAUCAAGUCUACACCUGAACAGUUUCUGUACUACGUCCUAAAUAGGCCAAGAUGGGUUAGGUGUUCUAAGGUCCUCAGCUUCUCAGACCCAAUUAGAAAUAGUCAUGCCUAACCAUAAAUACUUGUGUGACAUUUCCGAAUCCAAAGGAGUCUCCACUGAGCAGAUGGAUCUCAAGCCAACUUGUUAAGGACUACUCCACACAAGUCGAACAUGACUAUACCAUCCUCCUAUCUUAAUUGCACUCAAGUUCGGGUUAGAACUUAUUCUGAGCAGAUGGAUCUCAAGCCAACUUGUUAAGGACUACUCCACACAAGUCGAACAUGACUAUACCAUCCUCCUAUCUUAAUUGCACUCAAGUUCGGGUUAGAACUUAUCUCACCACUCAGAGAUCAGCAAGCACAACAAGCAGAUUAUAUCACACAUACAUAUAUACAAACAUCACAUAUGUACAAAUAUAUUCACAAAAAAAGUAGGCUAAACCCACUAGAGACUACUCCCCAGCAGAGUCGCCACUUAAUUUCUAUAGCGGAAAUUCAUGAUCAUCAAGCUAUUGAUAAGCUAGAGAUCAAUUAACAAGAGUCGCCACCGUACUUUUAUUGUUUCCAAGGGAAAAGGGAAAAGUACGAACAAAACCCAAAUAGUAAGAAGUUUUCAAAUAAAAACUAAUAAAAGUCAGAGAUCACAGAUAAGGGGGUUGGUUACACAGAGGGAAGGUGUUAACACCCAAAGUGUCCUAGGUACUCCUAGGGAGCCCUUUUUGUGUGCAUAUGUAUUUGGUACAAAGUGAUGUUUACAAACAAAUAGAAUGGGGGGAUGAGGAAAGAAUUCAUUAAUUAUAGUUUUGUGUUUGACAAGACCUUCGGUCUUGUGCCUACGUACCAACAUAUAAAUGAGGGAUCAAAACCUCAUAGUUCAUGCUAUAAAUUGCAAAAUGAGUGUGUCGGUUUUAACAAAAUUUAAGUUUGAAAAGGCACAAAGGCCUAAAAUGAUUUGAAUGAGUUGGUUCUUUUUAGCUUUUUGAAAUUUUAAGUCAAGCAUAGUUAAGUUUAUUUACAAGUUUGAUUUAAGAAAAUAAGUUUGAAAAUGCAACGGCAUAAGGCCAAAGUUUCUACCUUUUGCAAAAGUGGUCAACGUUUAGAACAAAAAGUAGUUCACACAAAGAAGGUUUUAAAAAUGGAGGGAGAGAUUUUGAAAUUAAAGAAAUAGGGAGAAGAUGAAGAGACUGCCCUAUGUACAAGAAUUUAAAAGUUUAAAGUUGAAAAGAUCUUACCAAAUAGGAGCAAUCCAAUAGACAAAUAUGUCAAUAGAAACCCAGAAUCCCCUUGGAAUUUUUUAGGAUCAAGCAACACACAAAUGCACAAUUAUAUCAAUCUUGAAGAGCAAAGGCAUCAAAUAAAGAUGGCCUCAUCCAAUCUUAUCGACUUCAAAGAUCUUCCUCAAAAUAGCCCAUGCAACAGAUGAAUUCCACAAUUCAUAGGUUCAACAUAACAGCUUAUCAAUGAUCAAUGUUGCAGAUGAAUCUGGAGAGAUCUAGAAUGAUGCAUCAUAUGAACUCAAAUUGCAAUCACUUGGUUCUUCAACAAAUUGGUAUUGGCCAAGUCCAUUAGCAAAGGAAUGUUGCCUGAGUUCUAAGUCUAAUUGGGCAAGAUCAAACCAAUAGUCCAUUCAAAUGUCUUUUAGGGUUUUUGUUAUUAUUAUGUACAUUAAUGGUCAAAGACCAAACAGACAAGCAAACAAAAUAAUAUCACAAUAUGGUCCAAAUGGAUAAAGUAAAAAUUACAUUAACAUAAACAAUUAGAAUGAUAUGUAUAAUGGCAAAUGAUAAUAGAAUACUAAAAGCAAAUUUCAUUAAAGUAAAGACUUGAAAGUAAAAGUUAAUGGUUAGUAAGUUAAUAGUUAGUUUUGUUUUGCUUUUGAUUUCAAGACAUUCUUUGGAGAACACACAACCCACUUGCCACAAGUAUGGAUCCUUGAACCAAAACAUCUUCCAAAGGAAGGAAAGAAAGCCAAGUUUCCACACAAUACCAUGGAAGAGGGGAGACCUAAAAUCUCACUAACUAGAAUGCUUAUGCCUUUUAUGUCACAAAUUUAGCGCUAUGUUAAGCAAUCGUAAUUGGACUUACGUAGAAGUCAUAACUAUUUGAGUUCAGGCAAUAAACUUUUGGUGUUAAUGCAUGUUGGAGACAUAGUAUUAAGAACUAUACUCAUUAAACAUACCACACACAAAAAAAUAUGCAAAGGUGUGGCCUAAUCUCAUCCAUACUCAUGUUAUACUUUCAAUCAACUAGCAUUAGGACUUUGAGAUGUCAUUGGCCAAUUGAAAAUGAAUGGAUGAAAAAGGGAAUUAGAUGAAGAGGAGAUGGGAUGAAUGAGAUCACAAAUUGGUCAAAGGAGGACUUUUACCAAAUUAAUAUUAUUCAUUCAUUUUGGGAGAUGGAAUGUACAUUCCAUCAAUCCCCUAAAUCCAAUAAUAUUAACUUGACAAACUCAAAUCAACCUUGACCAAGGCCCACCAACAAAUGAGAAACUCAAUUAAGUCAAUACAAAUGGUCAACACAAUUAAAAUGGCAUUUAUUCAAUUAAAAAUAGUAAAAUAAUGCAUUAAAUUUAAAUAUGUUUUGUCCAAAUCCUAAAAUCUCAUCAAAACACUAAUAGUAAAAUAAUGCAUUAAAUUUAAAUAUGUUUUGUCCAAAUCCUAAAAUCUCAUCAAAACACCAAAUAAAUGGUCAUGAGAUUUAUCAUAGGUCAAACAAGGUCAAAGGACCUUGGAGAAAAAAUUUCAUAAUUUUUGGACACUUAAAAAUAUUUUAAAACAAUUAAAAACAAAUGAAAAAUCCAUUAAUUAAUGAAAAAUAUUAAUAAUGAUACAAAAAAUAAUUUUAAUUCAAAAUAUGAAAGGGAAAAAUAUUUGAAAUUUUUUGGUGAAAGUCCCAUAAUUUUUGGAUCAAUAUUAAAUUUAUUAUGAAUUAUUGAAGAAAAUGGAAUUAAACUAAAAAUCAUAAAAUUCAAAAAUAUGUGGACCAUCAGAUCUCCGUCAUUAAUUGAUGUGGCAGAUAUGAUGAUCCAAAACGCGCGUUCCACCAAUGCCUCAGUCAACAACGUUGUAACAUGAGUAAUCACAAGGAACGACUAUGAUUAAAACGUGGAGCAUGGAUCAUACGGUUCAGACUCAAGACACAUCAUCACCGGAGCCAGAGCUCCGGUUGUCUUCUCCGAUGAGCUUCACCGGACUAGUCAACAUGAACCAUCACCAAAAUGCAAAACAGGGACAUGAUUUUAAAGAGAAAACAUCACUGAGCAUGAAUAUCACCUCCAAUUCAUCCAAUUCCAACUAUAUUGAGAGAUAUGUGGAAUUGAAAAAUGAGGUUCACGAUCUGAGUUGCUUCAAUUUGGCCUCAAAGCAACUCAAUCUUCUUGCCUACAUUGGUAGGAUUUCAGACAACACAAGAAUCAAUGAAAUUUAGCAAGAAUCAAGGAGAAUCGAAGAGUUUAAAAUUUAUGCAAAUUACCUUCAAUGGAGGUUUGAGCUUGCUAGAUCUUGAUCUGAAUCGUGCUUAGCUUCACUUCAAUUGCUUGCAGAAGAGGAAUGGAAAGGCUUAAAAUCAAUGGACUCCUGGAGAAUUGAAUUCCAAAACAAUGGAGAUUCAAGCUCAAAUUCAAAUGAACUUAUCAGGGUUAUCCUCUUAGUGUGAAGGGUUUUCAAUGGAGAUUCAAAGUUGGCGCAAUGUGUGUGUUAAUUCUGAGCAUAAGGGCCUCAAUUUAUAGGGAAAUCAAAUGAUAUUUGCACACUCUUUCCACUUUCCGAAUUUGGCAAAAUGAUGAUACAAAGCUGCAUGGGUGUGCAUAGGCCCAUGGAAUGAUGGUUUGAAAGUCCAAAAUGAAGUUCAGAUGCUUUGAAGAUGGAUUGGAUUGCAAGGUACAUGUGCAUUGUCACUUGAAGAUUGAUCCAUGCCAAAUGAUAUCAGUCUGUUUAAGCCAUGCGCAGCGUAUGCAUUUCUCAUUAAAAAUGCAUGAAUUUUAGCUCUUUGGAAAGGUGAGAUCAAGAGGAACAAGUUUGAUGUUGAACACUUUUUCAUUUGGAGCUUGGAACUUGGAGAUAUUUGAGGUGGAAGUUUGAAAAAAUUUGACAUAUCAAAAUUUUUCUAAGUGUCAAGCCAUAUGUCUCAAUAUUCCACCUUACUUAACUUUUUAUAGGAGCUUCAAAUCAAAAAAGUGUCUUCAUAAAAGUUGUAUCUCUCUCAAAUACCUUUAAAAUGGUCACUAAUUUCAUGUCAUUUGGAUUGUAAAUGAUAGAGUUAUGCAUUUUUGAAGUUUGGAAAAAUCACUUGAUCAAUGGUAUAGGUCAAAAGUGACCUAUAAUGUAGCCUCAUAUCACAUGUUCAAAGAAGUUGAAUUAGAUCUUACUCCAAACAUCAAAGUUGAAGUAGACACAUUUAAUUUGAUUUUUAAACUUGGAAAUAUUUCAUAUCAUAAAAAUUGAGCAAGUUAUGGUCUUGGGAAGUUGACUUUCAAAUUAGGGUUUAGACAAAAUGACCUAUAAUGUUUCAACAUAGAAAAGGGAUUUUCAGAAAACUAGCUCUAGAUAUCAACAUGAAAGUUGUUUAUAAUGUCAUUUAGAGUAAGUUUUCUCUUGGAAUAAUUUUCAUAUUGUGAGAAUUGUAGGAGAUAGGUCUAGGGAGACCCAGUUUUGAUCAGAUGAAUUCAUCUGGCCAACCACCAUCAACCAACUUGCUAACUUCUAAUUAUCUUGACUUUAUUGGUCAUGGUAGAUCAUAUAUGCAUAAGAUGAUGAAAUUUGAAGUGUCCCUUGAGAAAUUUGAUCAAGUUGGUGAGAUAGCUUGUUGGAGAAGUUACUCAAGAUACCCAGUCAAACUAGGGUUUCCAAGGCAAAUCACCCUCAAACUCUUGAAGAAAACUUGAUCAAUAUAACAUGUAGAGAUCAUUAGGGCUCAUAUAUGAAAUUCAUAACCAUUAUUGAAUCAAUUCUUGGUUAUACCCUUGUUCAUGAGGGUCUCACACCCUAGAUGUGAUCUUGAUGAAUCGAUGAGAUCGUGCCCUUCCUACAAAAGAGUUAGAUAGAUACAAAGAUAUAUUUUUGGUACUUUGGUUAGUGAAAUGAUAAUAUAAAAGUAUGGUAUAAUCACAAGAUGCUUGGUGAUCUCUCCCAAAACAAACCCAAUGAAGAGGGGGUAAGGAGGAUACCAAGGUAUGAUCCCAAUGCUAGUGCAUAUGAUGGAAUUACAUGAGGGAUAUUAGGCCAAGAUGGGUUAGGUGUCCUAAGGUCCUCAGCUUUUCAUACCCAAUUAGAAAUAGUAAUGCCUAUCCAAAAAUACUUGUGUGACAUUUCCAAAUCCAAAGGAGUCUCCACUGAGCAGAUGGAUCUCAAGGCAACUUGUUAAGGACUACUCCACACAAGUCGAUGUACUGAUAUGGUAGGAGGAUAGAAUUAACGUGUCAAGUUCGGGUUAGAACUUAUCUCACCACUCAGAGAUCACCAAGCACAACAAGCAGAUUAUAUCACAUAUACAUAUAUACAAACAUCACAUACAUAAAAGCAGAUUAUAUCACACAUACAUAGGGGCAGCUGUAAGACCCCAAUUUUGAUCCUAAGACCCCUCAUGCAAUCCCAUCAUAAGCAUAAGCAUUGGGAUCACAUCUUGGCAUCCUCCUUACCCCUUUUCAUUGGGUUUGUUUUGGGAGAGAUCACCAAGAAUCUUUGUGAUUAUAUCAUACUUGUAUAUUAUCAUUUUACUAACUAAAAUACCAAAAAUAUAUCUUUGUAUCUAUCUAACUCUUUUGUAGGUAGGGCAUGAUCUCAAUGAUUCAUUGAUCACAUCUAGGGUUUAAGACCCUCAUGAACAAAGAGCACAACCAAGAACUGAUUCAAUAAUAGUUAUGAACAUCAUAUAUGAGUCCCAAUUGCUUCUACAUGUUAUAUUGAUCAAGUUUUCUUCAAGAGUUUGAGGGUGAUUUGUCUUGGAAACCCUAGUUUGACUGGGUAUCUUGAGUAACUUUUCCAACAAGCUAUCUCACCAAUUGAUCAAAUUUAUCAAGGGAAACUUCAAAAUUCAUCAUCUUAUGCAUAUAUGAUCUACCAUGAGCCAAUAAAGUCAAGAGAAUUGGAAAUUAGCAAGUUGGUUGAUGGUGGUCGGCCAGAUGAAUUCAUCUGAUCAAAACAGGGUCUCCCUAGACCCUAUCUUCAACAAUUUUCACCAUAUGAAAAUUAUCCCAAGAGUAAACUUACUCUAAAUGACAUUAAAAACAACUUUCAUGUUGACACCUAGAGCUAGUUUUGCUUGGAAAAUCAUUUUCUAUGUUAAAACAUUAUAGGUCAUUUUGUUUAAACCUAAUUUGAAAGUCAACUUCCCAAGGCCAUAACUUGCUCAUUUUUUAUGAGAUAAAAUAUUUACAAGUUUAAAAAUCCAAUUCAAUGUGUCUACUUCAACUUUUAUGUUUGGAUUGGGAGCUAAUUCAACUUUUUUGAGCAUGUGAUAUGAGGCUACAUUAUAGGUCACUUUUGACCUAUACCAUUGAUCAAGUGAUUUUUCCAAACUUCUUUCAACUUUUUUGAGCAUGUGAUAUGAGGCUACAUUAUAGGUCACUUUUGACCUAUACCAUUGAUCAAGUGAUUUUUCCAAACUUCAAAAAUGCAUAACUCUAUCAUUUAAAAUCCAAAUGACAUGAAACUGAUGACCAUUUUGAACGUCUUUGAGAGAUAUUCAACUUUGAUGAAGACACAUUUCUCAUUUGAAGCUCCCAUAAAAAGUUAAGCAAGGUGGAAUAUUGAGACAUAUGGCUUGACACUUCAAAUUUUUGAUUUGUCAAAUUUUUCCAAACUUCCACCUCAAAUAUCUCCAAGUUCCAAGCUCCAAAUGAAAAAGUGUUCAACAUUAAACUUGUUCCUCUUGACCUCACCUUUCCAAAGAGCUCAAAUUCGUUCAUUUUUGACUUGAAAUGCAUAGGUUGCGUAUGACUUAAAUAGACUGAUAUCAUUUGGCAUGGAUCCAACUUCAAGCAACAAUGCACAUGUGCCUUGCAAUCCAAUCAAUCUUCAAAGCAUCUGAAUUUCAAAUUUGGACUUUUAGCUAUCAUUCCAUGGGCCUAUGCGCGCCCAUGCAUCACUCCAUCAUCAUUUUGCCAAUUUUGGAAAGUGGAAGUGAGUGUGCAAAUAUCACAUGAUUUGGCUAUAAAUACAACUCCAUUUGCUCAUAAAUAAGACACAUUGUGCCAACUUUGAAUCUCCAUUGAAAACCCUUCGCUCUCAUAGGAUAACCCUAAUAAAUUCAUUUGAAUUUGAGCUUGAAUCUCCACUAUUUUGGAAUUCAAUUCUCCAGGAGUCCACUGCUUCUAAACCUUUCCAUUCCUCUCCUGCAAGAAAUUGAAGUGAAGCCAAGCACAAUUCAGAUCAAGAUCCAUCGUGUUCAUACCUCCAUUGAAGGUAAUUUGCAGAAAUUUUAAACUCUUCGAUUCUCUUAAAUUGUUGCUCAAUUCCAUUGAUUCUUUGAUUGUCUCAAGUCCUACCAAUGUAGGCAGGAAGAUUGAGUUACUUUGAGGCCAAAUCGAAGCAACUCAGUUCAUGUACCUCAUUUUUCAAUUCCACAUAUCUCUUAAUAUAUUUGGAAUUGGAGGAAUUGGAGGUUAGAUUCGACCUCAACGCCAUUUUCUCUUUAAGAUCAUGUCCCUGUUUCUUUUUUUGGUGAUGGUUCAUGAUGACCAGUCCGGUGAAGCUCACCGGAGAAGACAACCGGAGCUCUGGCUCCAGUGAUGAUGUGUCUUGUAUCUGAAGCACUUGGUCCAAGUCUCAUGUUCUAAUCUGGAUCGUUCCUUGUGAUUACUCCUUUUGUCACGCGGUUGACUCAGGUGUAUGUGGAGCGCGCGUUUUGGAUCAUCAGAUCUGCCACCUCAAUUAAUGAGGGAGAUCUGAUGGUCCACGUAAUUUAGCAUUUUCUGAAUUUUAUUUUUAUUCCCUUUUCUUCUAUAAUUCAUAUUAAAUUUAAUAUUGAUCCAAAAAAUAUGGGACUUUCACCAAAAAUCUUCAAAUAUUUUUCUCUUUCAUAUUCUGAAUUAAAAUUAUUUUUUGGAUCAUCAUUAAUAUUUUUUAUGAAUUAAUUGAUUUUGAAUUUGUUUUUAAUUGUUUAAAAAUAUUUGUAAGUGUCCAAAAAUUAUGAAUUUUUUCUCCAAUGUCCUCUGACCUUGUUUGACCUAUGAUAAAUCUCAUGACCAUUUCUUUGGUGUUUUGAUGAGAUUUUAGGAAUUGGACAAAACAUAUUUGAUUUUAAUGCAUUAUUUUAUUAUUUUUAAUUGAAUAAAUGCCAUUUUAAUUGUGUUGACCAUUUGUAUUGACUUAAUUGAGUUUGAUUGUUUGUUGUUGGGCCUUGGUCAAGGUUAAUUUGACUUUGUUAAGUUAAUAUCAUUGGAUUUAGGGGAUUGAUGGAAUGUACAUUCCAUCUCCCAAAAUAAAUGAAUGAUAUUAAUUUGGUAAAAGUGCUCCUUUGACCAAUCUGUGAUCUCAUUCAUCCCAUUCCCCUUCAUCUAAUUCCCCUUCUUCAUUCAUUCAUUUCCAUUUGACCAAUGACAUCUCAAAGUCCUAAUACUAGUUGAUUGAAAAAUUAACAUGAGUAUGGAUGAGAUUAGGCCACACCUUUUGCAUAUUUUUUGUGUGUGGUAUGUUUCAUGAGCAUAGUUCAUAAUACUAUGUCUUCAACAUGCAUUAACACCAAAAUUCUAUUGCUCGGUCUCAAAUAGUUGUGACUUCUACAUAAGUCCAAUUACGAUUGCUUAACAUAGCGUUGAAUUUGUGACAUAAAAGGCAUAAGCAUUCUAGUUAGUAAGAUUGUAAGUAUCCCCUCUUCCAUGGUAUUGUAUGGAAACUUGGCCUUCUUUCCUUCCUUUGGAAGAUGUUUUGGUUCAAGGAUCCAUGCUUGUGGCAAGUGGGUUGAGUGUUCUCCAAAGAAUGUCUUGAAAUUAAAAACAAAACAAAACAAACUACUAACUUACUAACUAUUAACUUUUAACUUCAAGUAUUUACUUUAAUGCAAUUUACUUUUAGUACUUUAUAUCAUUUGCCUUUAUACAUAUCAUUCUAAUUGUUUAUGUUAAUGUAAUUUCCACUUUGUCCAUUUAGACCAUAUUGUGUGAUAUUAUUUUGUUUGUGUUACUUUGGUUGUUUGUGUGGUCUUUGACCAUUAAUGUACAUAAUAACAACAAAAACCCUAAAAAACUUUUGAGUGGACUGUUGGCUUGAUCUGUGGACCAAUUGGACUUAGAAUUUAGGCAACAUUCCUUUGCUAAUGGACUUUGCCAAUGCCAACUUGUUGAAGAACCAAGUGCUUGCAAUUUGAACUUCAUAUGAUACAUCAUUCAAGAUCCCUCCAGUUCAUCUACAACAUGAUCAUUGUAAAGCUGUUAUUUUGAACUAGUGACUUGUGGAAUUCAUCUGUUACAUGGGCAAUUUCUGAAGAAGAUCAUGGAAUGGAUAAGAUUGGAUGAGGCCAUCUUUAUUUGAUGCCUUUGCUCUUCAAUAUUGAUAUAAUUGUGCAUUUGUGAGUCGCUUGAUUCUAAAAAGUCCAAUGGAAUUCUGGGUUUCUAUAGACAUACUUAUCUAUUGGAUUGCUACCCAUUUGGUCAGAUCUUUUCAACUUUAAACUCUUAAAUUUUGUGCAUAGGGUAGUCUCUUCAUCUUCUCCCCAUUUCUUUAAUUUCAAAGUCUCUUCCUCCAUUUUCAAAACCUUCUUUGUGUGAACUACUUUUGUUCUAAACUUUGACCACUUUUAAAAAGAAAGAAACUUUGGCCUUAUGCCAUUGCAUUUUCCAACUUAUUUUCUCAAAUCAAACUUGUAAAUAAACUUAACUAUACUUGACUUAAACUUUCAAAAAGCCAAAAAUAACUAACUCAUUCAAAUCAUUUUCAGGCCUUUGUGCCUUUCAAACUUAAAAUUUUGUUAAAAACCAACACACCCAUUUUGAAAUUUAUAGCACGAACUACGAGGUUUUGAUCCCUCAUUUUUAUGUUGGUACGUAGGCACAAGACCGAAGGUCUUGUCAAACACAAAAAUAUAAUUAAUUGAAUUCUUUUCAUCCCCCAUUCAUUUGUAUUACAAAUCACUUUGUACAAAAUACAUAUGCGCACACAAAAGUGGCCUCCCUAUGAGUACCUAGGAUUUACUGGCGCUAACACCUUUCCUCUGUGUAACCAACCCCCUUACCUGUGAUCUCUGAUUUUUAUUAGUUUUUAUUUGAAAACUUCUUACUUAUUGGGUUUUGUUCGUACUUUUCCCUUUUCCCUUGGAAACAAUAAAAGCGCGGUGGUGACUCUUGCUAAUUGAUCUCUAGCUUAUCAAUAACUUGAUGAUCAUGAAUUUCCCGUUACAGUAGGACUCUUGUCUAGUGUUGAGGAGGAUCACUCAGUAACAUAACUCUGAUAUUCAACAUUGUAGGACUUUGGUCUAGUGUUGAAGGACUUCAGUCUAGUGUUGCGAUUGAUUAUUGAUAAUGGUAGUAAGAGGUUCAGAUGGAAAUUGUUUGAUUUUUUUGUAGCAUCGUGCAUCUUGUAUAUAUGAGAUUAGCUUAGGACUUUAGCCUGGUGUUGUAGGAGUUUAGUCCAGUGUUAAGAAUCCCUCAGUAACAUAAGUCUGAUGUCCAACACUGUAUGACUUUAGUCUAGGGUUGUAGGAUGGUACCACAUGCAUGUGAUUAGAGUAUUUACGAAUAACAUAAUAAUUUGUAUAUUGUACAUUGCAUUGACUAAUUAUAUCGAUGUAAAAUAUUCUUGUUGUUUUAUGCAUCAUUAUCAUAUAUGAAUGUAUUCUCACCCAUUUCAUAUGAUAUAUUCUCUAUUGUUGUACUUGAUAUUGGGGAUCCCCAGAUUGAGGAUGAGGAGUGGUAGCUAUUGGUUACCGAGGAUGGCAUAGUUGGCCUUUUCGUUAGUUGUUUGUCUUUGUUUGCUGAAAUCUAUCGGUUGUUUAGUUGUAUAUGGUGUCGCUCUAAUAGUGUAACAUCAGUUUCAAAGUUUUGUGACGUUUUUUACUAAGAUGUGUUGAAUAAUUUACUUUUUUUUUAUGUUUUCUCAAAAUUAAGUGAUUUUAAAGACUAAGUUGCUAAUGUUAUUCUCUUUUUGAAUUAAAGUUCUGACUUUUGGAAAUUAAAGUUGAAGUUAUUAACGUGACACCCUGAUUGUUAUCUUCAUAUUUUCCGUAUUAUUCUAUAAAUAAAUAAGAGUUUUAGGGUGUUUUAGGUGACAUCUCAUAUUUCCUUAGUAUCAAAUUCUACACAAGUAAUAUAGGCUUGAUUAUGCUCCAAAGAAGAUAUGCAAGUCAGAUACUCUAAAGAUUUGAAAUAGGGGAUUGCAAUGCGACUUCGACACCAACUAAGCCGGGAUUGCAACUGACAAAGGAUCUAGAUGAAGAUGAAUACAAUCUAACUCAGUAUUUAAGACUCAUUAGAUCAUUAAUAUACCUUUGUCACACAAGGCAUGACCUAGCACACAAUGUAGGCAUGAUGAGUAGGUUCAUACAAAAGCCAAAUGUGCCUUAUCUUGCAGCCAUCAAGAAGAUACUAAGGUAUCUCACAGAAACACUAGAUUAUGGCAUUUUGUUCCCUACAACAGAUGAAGGAAAAGAAUGCAAACUAGUGGGAUACACUGACUCGAGUUUGUAAGGUUAUGUUGAGAAUAGAAAAUCCAUAGCUGAUUAUGUGUUUAUGCUAGGUGGUGCACCAGUUGCUUAUAGCUCAUGAAAAGAACCAAUUGUAGCUAUGUCAUCAUGUGAGACCGAGUGCAUAGUUUCCUCUCUUAGUGCAUGUCAAGCAACAUGGAUGGUAAAUCCGAUCGAAGAUAUUGUAGGUGAAAAUCAUGGAGCAAAGAUCAUGAAGAUUGAUAACAUGUCUGCUAUAAAUUUGUCCAAGAACCCGAUAUCACACGGAAGAAGACAACACAAUGAGAUGAGAUUCCAUUAUCUUAGAGAGGAAGUAUCAAAUGUGAAAAAUUGUUUCUCAAGGGAUAGAUGUUGGACACGGUGUUGGGACAACUGAUCCGACUUGUUAAAAUCAAUAAGACAAUAAUAUAACAGAAAUAGUAACACGAAUUGAGCAUUUCAAAAACAGAGAUCCAAGUAUAGUCAACCCAAAAAACCUGAAAAAAUCAUGUGAAACCUAAUUGGAAGAAAGUUAUGAAGGAAUAACGUACCUUGAAAGUUCUUCGAAAGUAUAAAUGUUAGAAUCUAUACAAAGAAAAAUGUAAGAAAGCGUAUGAAUAACAUGUUUACCUUUUAGAAGAAGAAGAAAAAGAAGAAGAAGAACAAGAACAAGAACAAGAAGAAGAAGAAGAAAAAAAAGAAGAAGACUAACAACAUCAAAGAUAAAGAAGAAACAAUGUUGAAUUUGAUUAUCUUUUAGUAUGAAGAAGAAGAAAUACGAGUUAUGUGGAAGAAGGAGAGACAAGUUCGCUGGAUGUGGAAGAGAGAGAGAUGUUAGGGUUUUUCAAUUUGAGCGAGACGACUGAAGUGUGAUAACUUCACUUAUAUAUAUGUAAAACUUAUCACCACCGUUGGUAAGAAAAACUGUCAUAAACUGUCAGUACUAUCCACAAUGAUUUCUGGUACUAACUAUGGUUAUAGAUAUUUUAAUUUUAAUAUAUUUGUAAGAGGAUAUGGACAAACCCUUUUUGUAACGGAAAAAAAUUGUUUGUGCUAGGGUUCUAAGCAUGUAACCUUUCAUCUAUAACCACGAUUGUUAUUAUGAACCGUAAAGAAAUGUAUUUUAAUAAAAUAUAAAAAAAUGCAGGCGCGUUAAGAUGAUUUCUUACUACGGUUGUCUAAAUAGCCUUAGUAAUAUGGUGUUACAAAAUGUAUAUUUUGUAGUAGUGUAUUUUCCCACAGUGGAUGCUACUUGUUGUAAAAUUGAAAGGUUCAAUCACACCACAAUAUUUUUGUUGGAAAAAUCUAACAAUAAGAUGAAUCAUGUUAUAAAUAUUGAUGUGUGGAACAAUGAACAAUGAAAAUCAAAAUAAAUAGCCUCAAGAAAAAAAAGUCAUCUGCCAAACAAUGAAGGCAAAUCCAUAAUAAACUAGAGAAAAUUAAAAUACUAGUAAGAAUAAUUCUUACUAAUAAAAAAUUUAAAUGCAUUAGGCAUUUCAUUAUACUUAACAAAAAUUUAAAUAAUACAAUAAUAUUAAAUAUUGUUAAUAGAAUAUAACAAAAGCCAAUAUCAAGUGGAUCAUAUAUAAACCAUUCCACUUCUUGAUAACUGUGAAUUCUGUAACUAACAGCAAUCAAGUAGAAUGCCAAUAUAUUUCAUUUUUUUUCUAAUCAACUUCGUGGAAUCUAGGACAAGAAUAUACAAAAUACUGAAAUAACACUCUAAGGGAUUAAGCACAUAGCAGUAUUGGCCAGAUCCCUCUAAACUUUUCUUGUCUUUUCUGCAAAAUGUUCUUGUCCAUAAUUCAAACAUAAAGCUCACACAUGCCAGCAUAGAUGUAUUGAGACGCAUGCAAGAUUAACACCAAAUAACUAUCUUCUCUUUUCUGCAAAAUGUUUUUGUCCAUAAUUUAAAUUUAUUUACUUCAAGAAAAGCCCUUACAAUGCUAAUGUGUAAGGUCUAAGGGGUCAAAGAAAAAAUAUCUUUAAUUGUUCCUUACCUAUCUUUUUGCAUGUCAAUGGUGUGAAGUGGAUGUUUGAUCAUAUGAUCUAUGUAUUUCAUGGUUCCUUCUAGUGUAGUAGCAAUGAAGGAUUUUAAUAUUGAUGGAUCAGUUUUAGACCACUGCAAGGCUCAUAUGUUCUUUCUACAUGCUCUUUUUAUCUCGAGCGCAUGUUUAAACAAUUGUAAAGAAUGUGACCUACACACGUUGAAUAUUGUUAACUUCAACAUACAUUUCAUACUUUCUACACACAUAGGAAAAUUAAUUUGCUUGAGUUUAUGCCAAAAACUAAUAAAAUAGGGUAAAUAUAAAAAGCAUAAUAAUGCAUAAUGAAAUUAAAAGAGAAUUGUUAUUUCAACAAACAGAAAAUGCUACAAGGUGUUUUUUACUAUAAAAACUCAAUUCGUCAACUAUCACUCCUUGAGUGACCAAACAUAACAUAUAAUAUUAUUAAAAAAAAAAAGAGCUGAAACAGUCAAAUGGAAGAGGGAGAAGAAACUCACACUUUAUUUCUGAGUUUGAGAUUGAUCAAUGUAUAGAGGGACAAAAUCUAGGUAUUUAGGACUUCCGAAUCGACCAAUAUGAAUUAAGAUCUAAUCACACACCAAUUAAUAUGUUAAAGAAAUCAAGGAUUAGAAAAAUAAAGUUAUUCCUUUCGAUCUAUUGACAUGGUAGACAUAGAGGUUGAGAAAGAUGGUAAUGCCGAAGAGGGAACGAGAUAGGUGGUGGGAUAAAUGAUCAUUAUUAAUUGAAAAUGUAAAGUUAAUUUCAAUUGUCGAUAUACCAUUCAUUUUCUUAUUAUUCUUAUUGUUAUAUAUAUAUAUAUAUAUAUAUAUAUUAUAUAUAUAUAUAUAUAUUAGUUAUAUAUUAUAGAUAAAAUUUAAUAUAUGUUAUGUAUAUAUAUAUAUAAUAUAUAAUAUAAUUAUAUUAAAGCGAAAGUAAUUGUAAAAAACAAUUUAUAAAGAAAUUGAAGAGAGUGGAGAAAAAUUAAAAAGUUAAAACUUUGCUGAAAAUGGUUAUUUAUGGUCGUUUGGUUCAUUCAAAUAAAAAAUAUAUUUAUUUUGAAAUUAUAAGUCAUGUUACAUUUUAUAUUAAAUAAAUCUCUCUCUCUUCUCUCUCUCUCUCUCAUUCUCUUACUCUCUCUCCUCUCUCGCCUCUCUCUCUCUCUCUCUCUACUCUCUCUCUCUCUCUCUCUCUCUCUCUUCUCUCUCUCAUUCUCUCUCUCUCUCUCUCUUCACUUCUCUUCUCUCUCUUUCUCCUCUCUCUCUCUUCUGCUCUCUCUCUCUCUCUCUUCUCUCUCUCUCUCUCUCUUCUCUUCUCCUUUUCUCUUCUCUCUCUCUUCUCUCUCCUCUCUCUCUCUCUCUCUCUCUCUCUCUCUUUGUGGUUUGUGUUGUGUAUAUUUAUAUAUUAUAUAGCUAAGAGUGAAAAAAUUUGAUGUAAAUGUUUAAACAACGAAAGGAUUUAAAAACACUCAAUAAAGAAAUUUCGGAAAUAGAGAAUUUUUUAAAAUAUUUUAUUCAGUGAUCGAAAUAUCACUUCACUAAUAUUUUAUAUUAAUUAAUAAAUAUAUGAUUAGAGGUAUACAUGUCCGAUUAUAAUAUUUUGGUGCUAGUUCCGAUAUAGUGUAUCACCAAAUUUUCAACCUAUAAAUUUUGUUUAGUAGUGUAUAUGCUUUGAAAGGUUUUUCAAGAGUUUAAAAUUCAAUUUUAAGAAAAUAGUCUUCUAAAUUUUCAAGAACAUCCCGUAUUUUCUAUUGAAGUGUUUCUCAAUAUCUUCAAUUCUCUGUAUAUGAAUCUCACAAAUGAAGGUGUUUAAAAAUGUUUCAUAAUCCCCUUAAACAUCUUCAAAGAUUUUCCAAAUUCUAAAAUUAUACUCCAAGAAGAUGCAAAACAAGGGAAAAAUCUGACCCAUCAGCAAAUAAACCUAUUUGCAAACCGAGCUGAACCGAUCCAAAAACAUGUCGCGUCGUCGCAAACCCCCACCCCGGCCGCUAGGGCAGGCCACCACUGCUACUUGCAAGUAACACAAUCCCAACUUUGACGUCAACGAAUUUCGUUAGUAUAUACUCCCUCUGUCCCAAAAUAAGUGUUGCAUCUUAUACAAUUAUUUAUUUCAAAAUAAGUGUUACUUUUAGUUUCCAAUGCAAUUCUAAUUUUUAUCUUCUAAAUAUUCUCUCUAAUAAUUUUCUCACUUUGUAUUUAUGAUAAUUCAAAUACCACCACUAAAAAAUCAAAUUUAAAGAGGGUAGAUUUUCGUCAGAAAUUCAUGGAUAUUCCGUCACAAAAUAAUUUAGUGUCGGAUUUAGAAAUGUGCAUAAAUCCGUAACAAAUUUCAAUGUCGCAAAAUUCAGUGAGGGAAUUUAUAUUCCAUCACAAAUGGGUAUGAAAUAAAUCUAUCACUAAUUCUAUCUUAUAUUUCCAUCACUAAUUAAUGACAGAAUAAUAGACCCCUCUCUAAUUAGAAGGGAAUUGUUCCAUCACAAAGUUGAGACAAUAAUCUACUUCCCUCUCAAAAUUAGAAAAUAUCACCAAUAUAUUGGCAUAAUCUAUACAUCACUAUAUUACAUAUCAUAAAUAUUUCACUGGUUUUUUUCAUGAUUUAACAAAAUUAAACCAUCAGUGUAUGAAACUUUUUUAAAUAUAAUAAAUAUUCAUCAUAAAAUUACAUUUCAAUAUGGGUGGUGAUGUCGAAGUAUAGAUAAGAUACGAUCGUUUAGGGUAACCUGCAUCAAAUUUUUGUAGAGUUUAAUGUAAACAAAUUAAAUUAUACUCUAAAAAAAACUAAGGUAAUAGGUUAAUUACUAGUCUUCCAUGAACUUGAAAACGGAAAACUAUAUUUAAUUUUGUCAUUCUAAAUUAUAUUUUUAGACUUCCAAAUCCUAAUUUCCUCUGUCUAAGAGUUUCAUAAUAAAACUAACAUUAAACCAUAUUAUGUGUUAGUAUGGGUUGCAGGAAGAAAACAAACUCACUUCAGUUUAAACAAAUUAACCCUGCAACUAAUACUAACACAUGGCAAUUGCAACCACCAUGCCAAAUAUUUAACAACCACCUCAGAUGUCACUGUCAAAUAUUUAGCAUCCACACUAAUGCCAUCUAAUUUAAAUUCUUUCUUAUCACAUGUAAAAAAAGAUUAUAGAAGAAUUACAAAGUAUACUACGUAUCUUCCGAGACACAAUAAGAAACAAAAUCAAAUGUCUAGAAAUAUUCAAAUAAAUUUAUAGCCACUCUGCAAUGCAUGAAAAAUAAAUUGAGCACAAGGUCGGUACACAAUAUACAUGUUUCAAUUCUAUAUAGUUUCAUUAUGUAGCCUCCUGAAUAAACCAUUUAUGUAUCUCCCACUCUAACAUAGAACAUCACAACUCCAAUAACCUUAAUAAUUAAUCCUAACAAAACAUUACGGUAAAGAAAAAUCACUCCCUUUAGAAAUAAGAAAUUCCAUAUUUUUUGCCAACCUCCAUGUAAUUUGUGCAAUAACAUUGAUAAUUCUGAAUUCACCAUGUUUGCUAAGUCUAUCAUACUUUGACUAGAAAUUUCUUCCCAUCUAUAUAUCUUAAAAAUAUAAAAAAAAAACAAAUUAAACCUUUAAAAGAGGAAUUAUAUAAAUGACUAUAACUAUAAUUAGGUAAAAGUAUCUUAGCAUGACUAAUUGCCUAAUUACUCAAAUUGACAUGUUCAAAACUAAUACUUUUCCAUCAAAUCCAACCUGAUCUUUAUCCUUCAUCCUCUCUCUUAAGAGAAUCAUAUAAAUUCUACGACCAAAUAAAACACUCUUCACUUGAAACCUCUUUAGCGAAUCCAACACCAUGUUUGGCUCGAAAGAAAAAAAACAGAAAAAAAUAAUUAAAAACAAUUUCAAAGUAUUUAACCAAACAAACAUGAGUCGUCAACCUAGCUUCAUAUUCACCAAGAGUAAUAGUUUUAGAAUUCUAAGAUUUUGCAAAAAAAAAGCAUCCUUUCAACAUAAUUUGUAGUUUCAUCCAAAAUAUUAUACAAUUGAAGCACAUAAUUAACAAUAAAAGCCUUAUUUUAUUUUAAAAGCUAGACUCCAUAAACUACUGGAUUUUACUAAACCCUAGAAGUUACCAGAAGCAAAAAUUGAAGAAACAUGUGAAAUUCCCAGAUCUGUAACAUGUGCACUAUACAUUCUUACACAACUAGGUUUACCAGAAGAAUGAGUUACAAAUGGUUGAAAUAGUGUAUCCCACUUGAUCCCUUGAACAAUUCCAAAAUCAAACUGUGUGAAUAUUGUUAGGGUUUUAUGAGAAAGUUAAUUGCUUCCCAUGUAGUUGAAGAAGUAGAAGAAAUUGAAGAAGCAAUUUGUUAAUGUAGCAACAAUUGAGUUUGUUUUCGCGAGCAACUAUGGUGGCAACAAUAGAGAUGGAUAAAAAUAGAAAGAAAAAAAGCGAAGAAAAGGAAUAUACCGUAUAGAAAUAGGAAUUAGGGUUAACAAGUGAGAGAGCAAAAAUUAAUUUAACAAAAUUUUUGGGAACAUUUAACUUCAAAAUUUUAAGAGUGAGCAGCAGAAGAAAAACAGGAAAAAGGUAAACCUAAUUUUAUCUAAAUUUUUUGUUUUUUAUUUAUUAAAUUUUAGGAAAAUCAUUUUAUAUAAAAAAAAUUAUGACAUAAAUAUAUGGCUUCUUUCAUUUAAAAAUAUUUUCUUUCAAUUUGAAAAACAUAAAUACUAGAAUUAAUAUUUAUAUUUAUGAACAUAAAUAUCAAAACUAAUAUUAAUAAAAGUUGACAAUUCCUAAAAUAAAUUAUAUUUUCUCUUUAUUAAAUAUCAUUAUUAAUUAAAAUAUUUGACUACCAUUUUAAUUUUAAUAAACAUUUAAGCUACAAUAUCAUUAAAAGAUAUUAUCUUCAAUUUUUAUAUAUAAAAAAAUGUUAGAGAGGAAACAUUUCCCUCACAAAAUUCAUUACAAUGACAUCUUGCACAUUUACAAUGGAAUUUGUUAAAGAUAGAUAAAAUUCAUCUCAAAGCUCUUCACAAAAUUUAUUUUAAUCAUAUUUUUAGGAAGUUUGAGAGGGAUUACUUGUGACAGAAUAUUUCCAGCACAUAUGUCAUCACUAAUAUUCAUCCAUUUAAUUUUUUUUUACGUGUAGAGUUUUCCAUCACUAAAUUCAUCCGAAUUAAUGAGGGAUUUAAUUUUGUGUCUGACUUACGUCACUAAAUUCCACUUUUUAGUAGUGUACACCAAUAAUAAAAAAGAGUAGUUAGGUAAAAAUAAUAUUCUCUCUUUCAUUUAUUAUAUUUUUAAAAUUUUUGUGAAAUAAUCAACUAUGAUAAUUAUUUUGGGACGGAGUGAGUACCAUGGACUAUGUCUAGUUUCUUAACUGUUAUUGGACUUAAAAAAUAUUUAAAUUCUUUUAGGAACACUUUACAAAUUCAUUUGUUAUUGGACACAGAUAACAUUUAAAAAAUUUAAUUCACAAUUUUAACAAUUAUAAAAUUGUCACUAGUAUUAGUUAGCAUGUGUAGAUAAAUGAUAGAACGAUAUAGGUGUGAUAAAACAUAAUAAUUAUUAAUAUUAAAUUAUUUGACUACUAUUUUAGUUUUAAUAAACAUUUAAGCUACAAUAUCAUUAAAAGAUAUUAUCUUCAAUUUUUAUAUAUAAAAAAAAUGUUAGAGAGGAAACAUUUCCCUCACAAAAUUCAUUACAAUGACAUCUUGCACAUUUUUGAUGGAAUUUGUGAGGAAAAUGUUAAAGAUAGAUAAAAUUCAUCUCAAAGCUCUUCACAAAAUUUACUUUUAUCAUAUUUUUAGGGAGUUUGUGAGGGAUUAUUUGUGACAGAAUAUUUUCAUAACAAAUUUCAUCGCUAAUGUUCAUCCAUUUAAUUUUUUUUAUUUGUAGUAAAAAUACUAUUCUCUCUCUUCCAUUUAUUAUAUUUUUUUUAACUUUGUGAAAUGAUCAACUAUGACAAUUAUUUUGGGACGGAGUGAGUAUCAUGGUUUUGACUGUGUCUGAUUUCUUAACUGUUCUUGGACUUAAAAACAUUUAAAUUUUUUUAGGAACACAUUUACAAACCCAUUGGUUAUUGGACAUAGAUAACAUUUACAAAUUUUAAUUCACAAUUUUAACAAUUAUAAAAUUGUCAUUAGUAUUAGUUAUCAUGUGUAGAUAAAUGAUAGAACGAUAUUGGUGUGAUAAAACAUAAUAAUUACUAAUAUUAAAUUAAUAUUAGUUUUAAAUGUUUUUAUUAAAAAAUAAUUGUAUGUUUAUCCUUAUUACUCCAUCUUCUCUUUACUAAUAAUGCCUUGAGAAUAUUGAAAUAUUUGGACAUGACAAAUAUAACCGUUUUAAUAAUUUAUCAUCUUUGUGAUGGAGAAUUAUGUAACUAUAUUUUUUUUAAUUGAGGAUUGUAAUAAAAGUAGAUUAUAAUAUAUAUUAUAAUUGUUUUUAUUUUUUAAUAUAUAAAUAAAGUAUAGUAAUAUGUAAGUAAACGGAUAAAUAAUAGAUAAAUAAUUAAAUGACAUAUAUCUACAAUUACAUUUUAUAUAUUAAGUAUAGUAUAGUAUAAUAUAAAGUAGACGGAUAAAUAGAUAGAUAAUUAAAUGACGUAUAUGUACAAUUACAUUUUUCACAUGACAAGUACAAACUAUGCACUUCUAAGUGCAAGUUUAUGGAGUUAUUUGCAUGUCUUAGAGCUGGAGCUUGUGUUGUAGGAUACAACACUUUGUUAAAAUUCUCUAGUCAAUUCAUUAAUUCAUAUACACAUGGCCGAAGACAAUAAUAAAGCAUCUCCUUUUCCAUAAGAAUGUCCAAAUCAUCAAAUUCAAACAAAACUCCACACACCCAAGUAAUGUUCUUUUCAUUUUGCCACUUCAAUUUGUACAUUUUAACACACGCCAUAUGCAUGGCACAACAUGGCCAACUGUUGGUGCAUGUUAAUUAUAUAGUUUUAUUUUUUAUAUCUAUAAAUACACUCAUCUCCACUGUACUUUAUUCAUCCAGAGCGACCAAAGUGAGAUAUUAGUUUCAAUCAACAUGCUGCUACUACAAUGAAAGCUUCAUUUCCACUUUGAUGCUAAUGGGAAUUUUCUUUCCUAGCAUCAGUGUGUGUUUCUUCUAGGUCUGAUCCUCAAUCCUUUUAUCUUCAAGUCUAACAAGUUUCAAACUCUUUUGAGAAAUGAAAUGGGCACAUUCGACUUCUGCAGAAAUUUGACCAACGUUCUAAAAUUUGUCGAGAAUCUACAAAACUACCGUCUUUUGGAAUAUAAGUCCAAACCUCACACAAUAUUUCUUCCGCAGCACACCGAUGCCGAUUACAUCCUUGUUGUACUCAGUGGUAAUUUAUUAUUUAUCAAGUUGAAUAUUUAAAACUAAUCACUCAUAGUUCAUUCAAAAAGAACGGUAUUUAUUAUUUUGAGGAGUGCUAGUAACACUCUCUCAAACACUCACUUUUUAUUGGUUGAAACAUGUGUGGACCCCUCGCUUUGGAAAUAGGUCCCACAUAAAGUGGUAAGACCCACACAUAUUUCAACUAAUGAAAGAGUGUGUGUUUGAGAGAUUGUUGAAAAAAGAGUAUUAUUAGCAUUUCUCUUAUUACUUUACAUAUUUGUUUUGUAAGGAUAAGUUAAAUUCAGUUAUAAAAUCUAAUGUCAUUGUAAUUUCCAGGAAAAGCUAUACUCACAGUGUUGAAACCCGAUGAUAGAAACUCCUUUAACCUUGAGCGCGAAGAUACGAUAAAACUUCCUGCUGGCACAAUUGCUUAUUUGGUUAACAGAGAUGACAACGAGGAGCUUAGAGUAUUAGAUCUCGCCAUUCCUGUAAAUAGACCUGGCCAACUUCAGGUAAUAUAACCAAUGUUUACCUAUUCUCAUAUCAAAUAUGGUAUGCAUUCUAAUGUAUAAACAAAUUUAGGGGCCUCUACCAUAACAUCACAACAAAAAUUGCGACUGUACAUAUUUUUUUGUAAUGUUUUCCUAAUAUUUUCUUUAUUUUUUUGUCCUUUUCAUCAGUCUUUCUUAUUGUCUGGAAAUCAAAACCAACAAUCCUACUUAUCUGGGUUUAGUAAGAACAUUCUAGAGGCUUCCUUCAAUGUAAGUAUAAAACACACAAUUUUUUUUCAUUUUUGUAUGUAUUAGUUUGGUAUUGUAUAUGUUAAUACUCACUUUGUCAAUGUAUGUAUUGUAAAAAAAUAUAGACUGAUUAUGAAGAGAUAGAAAAGGUUCUUUUAGAAGAGCAUGAGAAAGAGACACAACACAGAAGAAGCCUUAAGGAUAAGAGACAGCAAAGUCAAGAAGAGAAUGUAAUAGUAAAAUUAUCAAGGGGACAAAUUGAGGAAUUGAGUAAAAAUGCAAAGUCUACCUCCAAAAAAAGUGUUUCCUCUGAAUCUGAACCAUUCAACUUGAGAAGUCGCGCUCCUAUCUAUUCCAACGAGUUUGGAAAGUUCUUUGAAAUCACCCCAGAGAAAAAUCCACAGCUUCAAGACUUGGAUAUAUUUGUCAAUUCUGUAGAGAUUAAGGAGGUAUGAUAAAAUUAUUUUAUAAUAUAGGAAAUUCACCAAAUUACACAAUGAGAUUUCACUUGAUCAAAUUAGAAUUGUUCUAAAUGAUUUGAUUUUUGUCCUUUGAAGUUAUAAUGUCAAACUUUUGUUACUAACUUGACAUCUCAUACACAACAAGUUUUACAUACUCAAUAACAUUUUUUAUUUAUAGAACAUAUAUCUAAUGUAUUUAUUUAAUUAUUCUUUCAAAUUAAAUAUUAGGGAUCUAUAUUGUUGCCACACUACAAUUCAAGGGCCAUAGUAAUAGUAACAGUUAACGAAGGAAAAGGAGAUUUUGAACUUGUGGGUCAAAGAAAUGAAAACCAACAAGAGCAGAGAAAAGAAGUUGACGAGGAAGAAGAACAAGGAGAAGAGGAGAUAAAUAAACAAGUGCAAAAUUACAAAGCUAAAUUGUCUUCAGGAGAUGUUUUUGUGAUUCCAGCAGGCCAUCCAGUUGCCGUAAAAGCUUCCUCAAAUCUUGAUUUGCUUGGGUUUGGUAUUAAUGCUGAGAACAAUCAGAGGAACUUUCUUGCAGGUAUAUUAAAUCUUGAUUUGCUUGGGUUUGGUAUUAAUGCUGAGAACAAUCAGAGGAACUUUCUUGCAGGUAUAUUAUAUUAUCACCCAGUCUCUGUCACUAUUUAUUCAUUUUAAGUGUGUAUUUUAAAAGUCAACUUCUAUUUAAAUCAAGGGGAAAAUAUUAAGAUAUGCUUAUUAUUUUGGUGAUUGAAAAUUUGAAGGCGAUGAGGAUAAUGUGAUUAGUCAGAUACAGCGACCAGUGAAAGAGCUUGCAUUCCCUGGAUCAGCUCAAGAGGUUGAUAGGAUACUAGAGAAUCAGAAACAAUCUCACUUUACAGAUGCUCAACCUCAACAAAGGGAGAGAGGAAGUCGUGAAACAAGAGAUCGUCUAUCUUCAGUUUGAAAUGCUUCUUAAUGAGUGGACAAAAUACUAUGUAUGUAUGCUAUCAAGAGAUAUAUCUCACAGGGAGCAAUGAAUAAAACAAUUUUAUCUUAUAACUAUAAUUAUAUCUCCACUUUUCUACUAUGAAUAAAUAAAUCAAGAGUAUUUUGGUGUUCCUCUUAGAUAUUAUAUUAUUUUAAGAAAUUCAAUAACUAAAAGUAUAAAACACUCAUUAAAUUUAAACUAAUGUAAAGACUCAAUAUCUCAUAUCCAUGAUUCAUGAUAUACAAUCAUCAAUCAAUUAAUAGAAUUCAAAAGAAUAAAUUUGGGGUUUCUCUUGUAAGUUAGCAACAUUUAUACUUGGGGUUGGGGUACUAGAGAAAUUGGUCAAAAUAAAGAAAAAUAAAAAUAAAAUCUAGGUGUUAAGAAUGACUUCUUCAAAAAAUUUGUUAAAAAGAAAAAGGAAUGCAAGCUAGUGGGAUACACUGACUCAUGUUGGUAUGGUGAUGCUGAUGAUAGAAAAUGUGUUUAUGCUAUGUGGUGCACCAGUUGCUUAGAGCUCAUGAAAAGAACCAGUUGUAGCUCUGUCAUCAUGUGAUACUGAUUACAUAGUUGCCUUUCUUUGUGCAUGUCAAGCAACAUGAAUGGUAAAUUUGAUCGAAGAGAUUAUAGGUCAAAAUCAUGAAGCAGUAAUCAUGAAGAUUGAUAACAUUUCUGCUAUAAAUUUGUCCAAGAACCCAAUAUGAUACGGAAGAAGAAAACACAAUGAGAUGAGGUUCCAUUAUCUUAGAGAGAAAGUAUCAAAUAUGAAAUUUGGUUUCUCAUAGGACAGAUGUUGGACACGGUGUUGGGACAAUUGAUCCAACUUGUUAAAACCAUUAAGACAGUAAUAUAAUAGAAACAGUAACACGAAUUGAGAAUUUCAAAAACAGAGAUCCAAGUAUAUCCAACUUGUUAAAACCAUUAAGACAGUAAUAUAAUAGAAACAGUAACACGAAUUGAGAAUUUCAAAAACAGAGAUCCAAGUAUAAAAAAAUACGAAAAAAUCAUGUGAAACCUAAAUGGAAGAAAGCGUAUGAAUAACUAGGGAUGGAGCCAGGAAUUCUAAAUAGUGUGGCCAAAUUUAUAAAUUUAUUAUGAGAAAAGUAUAAUAUAUUAUUUAUAAAGAAAUAUUAUUUUUUUUUAAAAAUUUUUUUAAUGAUUUAAAAUUAUUAAUGGUUUCUUAAUUUUCUACUUAUAAUUAUAUAACAUAUUUUAUCCUCACCAAUCAAUUGAUAGUUCAUAGAUUAUUAAUUUUUCUUUAAUCUAAAAAUAUAGAAUUAAAAAGAUAAGAUAAUAAUAUCCAGACUAUUAAAGUUUUUUAUCAAAAAUAGUAGAGACUAUUUUGGACUAAAAUUUGAAAUGAACUAAGUAUUUAAUGCAAUAUACACCAUCAUUACUAUUACCACAUGAGUAGUAUAUUAUAAUGAAAUUUUUAUUUAUAGUGGGGCAUAGACCUACAUAGUUGUGUAUGUAGCUCCGUCUCUCUGAAUAACAUGUUUAUCUUUUAGAAAAAGAAGAAAAAAACAACGUUUAAAUACUUAGAUAAAGAAGAAACAACGUUUAAUUUGAUUACCUUUUAGGACAAAGAAGAAGAAAGACGAGUUGUAUGGAAGAAGAAGAGAGACGAUUUCGCAGGAUGUGGAAGAGAGAGAGAGAGAGAUAUUAGGGUUUUGUAAUUUGAGCGAGAGGACUGAAAUUUGAAAACUUUGCUUAUAUAUAUAUAAAACUUAUCACCGUCGUUGGCAAGAAAAACCGUGAUAAACUGUCAGUACUAUCCACAAUGGUUUCUGGUACUAACCAGGGUGAUAGAUAUUUUAAUUUUAAUAUAUUUAUAAGACCAUAUGGACAAACUCUUUUUGUAACGAUAAGAAAAUUGUUUGUGCUGGGAUUCGAAGCAUGUAACCUUUCAUCUAUAACCACGGUUGCUAUUAUGAACCAUGAAGAAAUGUCUUUUAAUAAAAUAUAAAAAAAAAAUUAGGUGCGUUAAGAUAAGUUAUUAUAACGGUUGCUUAAACGGCCUUGGUAAUAUGGUGGAAAGAAAGGUAUAUUUUGUAGUUGUGUAUUUUCCCACGGUGGAUGCUACUUGUUGUAAAAUUGAAAGGUUCAAUCACACCAUGAUUUUUUGUUGAAAAAAUCUAACAAUAAUAUUAAUAACGUGAUAAAUAUUGAUGUGUGGGACAAAGAACAAUGAAAAAUAAAAAUAAAUAUCCUCAAAAAAAAAAAUCACCUGCCAAACAAUGAAGGAAAAUCCACAAUAAACAAGAGAAAAUUAAAAUACUAGUAAAAAUAAUUCGUCCUAAUAAUUUUUUUUAAUGCAUUAGGCAUUUCAUUAUACUUAACAAAAAUUUAAAUAGCACAAUAAUAUUAAAUAUUGUUAAUAGAAUAUAAAAAAAGCCAAUAUCACAUGGAUCAUAUAUAAACCAUUCCACUUCUUCAUAACAGUGAAUUUUUUUUAACUAACAAUAGAUAAGUAGAAUGCCAAUAUAUUUCACUUUUUUUCUAAUCAACUUCACGGAAUCCAGGACAAUGAUAUUCAAAAUACUGAAAUAAGACUCAAAGGGAUUGGGCACCUAGAAGUAUUGGCCAUAUUCCUCUAAACUUUUCUUCUCUUUUCUGCAAAAUGAUUUUGUCCACAAUUAAAACAUAAAUAUCACACAUGCCAUGUAUUGAGACGCAUGCAGGAUUAACACCAAACAACUACUCAAAAGGAUGCUAAAGUCUACAAAAACUACACUUAAUUUCUCAAAUGGUGAUGUAACCUAAUAACACUUUGCAAGCUAUAAUAUAAAGAAUGUGACCUGCACAUAUAACUCAUACUUGCUAAUAAAAUAGGGUAAAUAAAAAAGGCAUAAUAAUGCAUAAUGAAAUUGAAAGAGAAUUGUUACUUCAAUAAACAGAAAAUGCUAAAUGGUGUUUCUUACUGCAAAAACUCAAUUCGUCAACUAUUAUUCCUUGAGCGACCAAACAUAACUGUAAGACCCUAAUUUUGACCCUAAGAUCCCUCAUGGCAUCAUAUCAUUGCACAUUGCAUUUUCCUCAAGGAUCAUAGCAUCUUGGCUCCUUAACCCUAGGGUUGGGACUUAUGUGAGUUGGUUAGAGACCACCAAGCAUGCUUGCAUUGUAUAUUAUUGCUUUUCUCAUUUUGUUUACUAACCAAAAGGUGUUUUUAUACAAUGAUUGAAACAAUCAAAACAUCGAACUCGUUAGUACUGAUUCAAGGCUCCUAGGAGGCCCCUAUGCUCAAAGAAUGGCCAGAUGAAGUUGAAAGCAAGCAUGAAAAUGGUUCAAAAAGCUCUCAAUCAUCAUACAUGCCUCCCAAGUAUCUCAAUUUGUCAAUUUGAUCAAGAUAAACCAAAUAGCUUGAGGAUUGUUUCCCAAGGAAACCCUAAUUCAACUGUGCAUUGACUGUGCCUUGCUCAUGAAGCAACCUCAACCCAUGAUCAAAUACAAUAAAGGUAAGCUCUUUCAUUCAUCAUUUUAUGCAUAUAUGAACUCAUGUGAGUGUCUUCAAUCAUCCAUUCAUCAAGAUUUGAAGUUUGGACUUGAGAAGUUGAUCGGUCAAUUCAUCGACUAUUUUGAAAUCCACUAAGACCUAACUUUUGAUGUGUUUGUCAAAUGAAGAUGACCCCAAGAUAAAAUAUGUUUUUAAGGACCAUAUGAACAACUUUAAUGUUCAUCAAAAAUUGAUUUGAAACUUGGAAGGUCAUCAUUCAUUUCAAAACAUUAUAGGUCAUUUUGACUGAAAUCCUAAUUUUGGGUCAACUUCCCAAGGACCUAACUCACUCAUUUUUAAUGCUUUUUAGGUGGGAUCAAAUGCAUUAGAAACUUUAAGAUGUCUAAUUCAAUUGUUAUGUUGGACAAAUUUUCAUAAUCCUAAAAUAAACACAUGUGAUAAUGCAAAACAUUAUAGGUCACUUUGGACCAAAGUCAUUGAAAUGUAAAAAAGUCCAACAUUAAGUGCCCAUAACUUUCUCAUAAAAAAUCCAAAUGAUGCAAACUUUAAGUCCAAAUUGAUUGUCUUGAAAAUAUAUACAACUUUAAUGUUUAAGGUUUUGUCAUUUGAGGCUUGCAUCAUUGAAACAUAAGGGCUUGAAGUUGGUCCAUUUUGGCAAAAUUCACAUACACAUGUUUUGCACCUUGAACUUCAUGAUCAGUUUUCAUAAAUUUCCCAACUCCAAAUUGAUUUUUGUUCAAAUAACAUUUGUUCCUCAUGUCAAUACCUUUCCAACCAUUACCCACAUGGCUAUGUUUCAAUUUGGCAAAGUGCAUUUUCGAAGAGGAGAAGAUUUAUGUUCAUUUAUGGAAACAAUGUUAAUACUUAGUGCGCACUCCAUUGCAAUGCCAUGUACACAUCCAAAACACUCCAAUUACACUUCAACUUGCAUUUGCCAUCAAGUUUGGGCCUCCCAUGCGCCUGUACAGGCCCAUGCAUGGAGGCCCUUAUUCCACAUGCACACGAGUUUGCCAUUGCUUGCAUCAGCUUUCACUAUAAAUACAGAUGCUUGGCUUCAUUCAAUUCCAACCUUAAGUUGCUUGCAUCAGCUUUCACUAUAAAUACAGAUGCUUGGCUUCAUUCAAUUCCAACCUUAAGGCGCCUAACACUCUGUAGAAUUGAAAUCCUACCCUUCACUCAAAGGAAUUUUGAAUUUUCUUCUUCAAUUUUUCAGUUCAAUUUUCAACUUCCUUGGUUGAUCAUUGAGCUUCAAUUCUUAAGCCUAGCUACUUUGCCAUCUCAAGAUCACAUUGCAUCAAAGAAUUGGAAGAGAUCGUGCCUUGUAAAGUUGCACUUCAAAGGUUGUUGUUCAAACUUUUUUGAUUCGAAACUCCCUGGAUAUUGCUCAUUUCUUGUGUUUGUUGGUUCCUCUGAAGUCCUCAUAUGAGAGGCAAUUGAUCUGUGCAUUCAAUUUCAUGAAUUGAUCAAGUUCGGUUUGAACACCAUGAAUUUCUAUCUCAGAUUUCUCCUUCUAUGAGAGUCUAGAGUAGAAACCAAUGGCACAAGGGUGAUGUACAUCACCCCAGCUUUCCAAUGAUUUGAGGAUCGUGCGUUUUGGUGAGGUUUUUAAAACCUGCAACUCUUGCCGGAGCUGGCUUGCUCGCCGGAGAAGACGGUGGUGUACACCACCGUCCCCCAUGCCAGAUUGCAUAUAGACCAUUGAAUGUUGUUUCUAGAUUGAAUCACAACCAUGCAAUGUUUCCAGAAGACGGUGAGGUUUUUGUGCAAACAUUAACAUUGUUUUCAAAAUUAGAAACCUAAGCACUAUGCUUUUGAUUUUUCAAACUCUUUUCAUAACACUUAUUUUGAAUUGAAUCCUUAAGUCAACUUUGACCUUACUUUGUGAAUACUUUUCAUUUGUAAAUACAACUCACUUAAUUGUUUUGUGCCUUCAAUGGCCACUUUUGCCAAAGCUUUUCAUAAACAUUAGCUAUUAGGUUUGAGUUAUCCUAGAGGUUGAUAUAAUACUCACCUAUAUCCUUAGUGAUGGAUUAUAAGUCUUCCAUGCUUAUUAUAGGGUUAACCCCUCACUAGCAUGUUGAAGCUCUCCUCACAUGGUGGAUUUGUGGUUUUAGGUUGAGUUUUCUCCCUUUGAUAACAAAAGACCUUAAGGCUUUUGACCAAUCAAUUCACCAACUUAUUUUGAGAUUUUUACCCCGAACUACGAGGUUUUGAUCCUACCUUUGUGAUGGUACGUAGGCAAUGGGUUUAUCCAUUCAAACAACAAAAUUGUAAAUAAUUUGUAUAUUCUUUUCUCAUCUCCCCAAUCAUGUUUGCACAAAUAUUUUCACAAAUACCAACCUACCUUACAACAUUUGUAAAAAGGGCUCCCUUAGAGUACUAAGGAUGUUUUGGGUGCUUAAAACCUUCCCAUUGCAUAACCAACCCCCUUACCCAGAUCUCUGACAUUUUUAUUAGUUUUUGAUUUGAUAAAACUUCUCGGUUUUUGUUCGCUUUCUAACCUUUCCUUUGGAUAAAUAGAAGUGCGGUGGCGACUCGAAUUGUAUGAUUUACUUUUGAUUUAGUCAAUAAAUAUAAAGGUAACGAAUACCCCGCUACAGAAAAGUGGCGACUCUGCUGGGGAUUUUUGCCUAGUGGGUUUUGCCUACUUUUCACUUUUGUUGUAUUGUAUUGUAUAUUACUUGUGACAUAUUUUUGUGCAAAUUUGGGAUUACUGUAUUGUAUGUAAUGUAUGAAUUGCUUAAAUAUUAAUUGCUUGUGUGCUUGGUGAUCUCUUGUGAGAUGAGUUCUAUACCCGAACUCGAGUGCACUUAUGAUAGGAGAAUGGCAUAGUCUUGUUGGCUUGUGUGGAGUUAUUCCUUACAAAGUUGACUUGCAAGCCCAUUCACUUGGUGGAGGUUAUGUUGGGAUCAAUAAUGUCACACGAGUAGUCGUGGUUAGACAUUACCCUUUCCAAUAUAUGCCUUAGAAGCCAAGGACCUUAGUUUACCAAACCCAUCUUGGCCUAUUUUUAGGAUGUAGUGCGAAGGUCGUUCAAGUGUAAGAUUUGAUAUGAUUGUUACGCAAUACUACACUCAUAAGAGUCUCUCUUGAGAAUAUUUUUGGAAUACGAGUAGUCGUUUAUCCGAUAGUAUCCGAAAGAUGGGAUGAUGACUAUGGGAACCUCUUGUAGAACAUGAUUGUCAGGUUUAACCAUAGUACACUCCCUUUGGGUGGUUCUUAACCNNNNNNNNNNNNNNNNNNNNNNNNNNNNNNNNNNNNNNNNNNNNNNNNNNNNNNNNNNNNNNNNNNNNNNNNNNNNNNNNNNNNNNNNNNNNNNNNNNNNNNNNNNNNNNNNNNNNNNNNNNNNNNNNNNNNNNNNNNNNNNNNNNNNNNNNNNNNNNNNNNNNNNNNNNNNNNNNNNNNNNNNNNNNNNNNNNNNNNNNNNNNNNNNNNNNNNNNNNNNNNNNNNNNNNNNNNNNNNNNNNNNNNNNNNNNNNNNNNNNNNNNNNNNNNNNNNNNNNNNNNNNNNNNNNNNNNNNNNNNNNNNNNNNNNNNNNNNNNNNNNNNNNNNNNNNNNNNNNNNNNNNNNNNNNNNNNNNNNNNNNNNNNNNNNNNNNNNNNNNNNNNNNNNNNNNNNNNNNNNNNNNNNNNNNNNNNNNNNNNNNNNNNNNNNNNNNNNNNNNNNNNNNNNNNNNNNNNNNNNNNNNNNNNNNNNNNNNNNNNNNNNNNNNNNNNNNNNNNNNNNNNNNNNNNNNNNNNNNNNNNNNNNNNNNNNNNNNNNNNNNNNNNNNNNNNNNNNNNNNNNNNNNNNNNNNNNNNNNNNNNNNNNNNNNNNNNNNNNNNNNNNNNNNNNNNNNNNNNNNNNNNNNNNNNNNNNNNNNNNNNNNNNNNNNNNNNNNNNNNNNNNNNNNNNNNNNNNNNNNNNNNNNNNNNNNNNNNNNNNNNNNNNNNNNNNNNNNNNNNNNNNNNNNNNNNNNNNNNNNNNNNNNNNNNNNNNNNNNNNNNNNNNNNNNNNNNNNNNNNNNNNNNNNNNNNNNNNNNNNNNNNNNNNNNNNNNNNNNNNNNNNNNNNNNNNNNNNNNNNNNNNNNNNNNNNNNNNNNNNNNNNNNNNNNNNNNNNNNNNNNNNNNNNNNNNNNNNNNNNNNNNNNNNNNNNNNNNNNNNNNNNNNNNNNNNNNNNNNNNNNNNNNNNNNNNNNNNNNNNNNNNNNNNNNNNNNNNNNNNNNNNNNNNNNNNNNNNNNNNNNNNNNNNNNNNNNNNNNNNNNNNNNNNNNNNNNNNNNNNNNNNNNNNNNNNNNNNNNNNNNNNNNNNNNNNNNNNNNNNNNNNNNNNNNNNNNNNNNNNNNNNNNNNNNNNNNNNNNNNNNNNNNNNNNNNNNNNNNNNNNNNNNNNNNNNNNNNNNNNNNNNNNNNNNNNNNNNNNNNNNNNNNNNNNNNNNNNNNNNNNNNNNNNNNNNNNNNNNNNNNNNNNNNNNNNNNNNNNNNNNNNNNNNNNNNNNNNNNNNNNNNNNNNNNNNNNNNNNNNNNNNNNNNNNNNNNNNNNNNNNNNNNNNNNNNNNNNNNNNNNNNNNNNNNNNNNNNNNNNNNNNNNNNNNNNNNNNNNNNNNNNNNNNNNNNNNNNNNNNNNNNNNNNNNNNNNNNNNNNNNNNNNNNNNNNNNNNNNNNNNNNNNNNNNNNNNNNNNNNNNNNNNNNNNNNNNNNNNNNNNNNNNNNNNNNNNNNGCUAUUAGGAUUUUCUCUACUCUUAAUCCCGUUCCUACUCUGUUGGGUGACACUUACUUUUCUUUGCAUAUGAGGAAUGCAAACGGUGGUGGUACCAUUCUGUGUUGUUUGCCUCUGUUGUACAAGUGGUUUAUUUCGCACUUGCCACAGACGCUCGCCUUCAAGGAGAACAAAGGAUGUCUACGGUGGUCCACGAGACUUAUAUCUCUCACUAAUGAUGAUAUAACCGUGUAUAUGAUGGUGUGCAGAUUAUUGACUCUUGUGGUGAAUUCUCCAAUGUGCCUCUUCUUGGUACAUGUGGUGGGAUUAACUAAAACCCUAUUUUGGCACGUCGUCAGCUUGGUUUCCCCUUAAAGGACAAACCUAAUAACAUUUUGUUAGAGGGUGUGUUCUUUCAAGAGGGUAAAGAUCCUCAAAACUUGAAGGGCAUGAUGGUCCGCGCUUGGCGCAAGAUUCAUAGGAAGGGAAGGAAAUAGCUUGGUCUGAAGAAUUGUAUUACUUUGGAACCCUAUACCUCGUGGGUUAGGAGGAGAGCUUCUGAGUACCGCAUGCCUUAUGACUACCCAAGACCUACACCUAUGGUUAUGGCUGGGCCUUCAACCCUCCCUAACCAAGGAGUAGAGGAGUUGAGAGAUGAAGAUCAUUCGCGUGCUUGGGUCCGUGAGCGAGAGGAGCUACUUCAGUAGCUUAGAGAUAAGGAUGCGUUGAUAGAGUUUCUGGAGCAGCAGAUUAUCGACGAGCCUGAUGAUGUGGUGACUUCUCUUAUUCCUCAGUCUUCCAGGUUUUGGAAGAGGAAGUAUGACCGGCUUACCAAGGAGAAGGCAGAUAUGGAGGCAGCCUAUGAGAGAGAGGUGAAGAGGCUUCGUGCAACUUAUCUUCCGGUCUCGAGAGCUUUGGACGAUUGUUUCUAGGGUUCCAUAGGAUGUUCAUUUUCCUUCUCUCUUGUAUUGUAUUUGGUUACCAAGACUGUACUUCUUUGGUGUAAAUUUUUUCCAGAUAUUAUUGAUAUGAUUUUUCCAUAUAUGUCUAAAUGAUUAAUAUUUCCAAAUAUUCGCAAAUAGAGCUCUAAAAGUUCCUCUGAUAAAAAAUUCAAAUCAUAUGCACAAGCAUUGCAUGCAUCAUGUGCAUAAGCAAGUUUUGUUCAAGGGCUUCUUGUUCAGUGGUCUAACUCUGUGUUCUUCAUUUAUUUUGAAGACAAGCUGACGCACCGGUACUACACCAGAGCCAAUACAUCAAAGCUAAUGGAUCACCUAGAGCAAGAGAACAGAGAACUGAAGGAGGAAGUGGCAAGAUUCACUGCCCUGAUGGAGUCCUUCUUGGCCGCCCAAAGCCAGUCUUCUCCAACACCUUCAACUCCUCCCUAGAGGACGGUCAUUUCUGAGAUCGCUGCCUCUACCGUGCCUGCUGCCAGUGCCCAUUUUGCGCCUACUGCUAUGCCAGCCAGGUUUCCCUGGGGGAUGCCUCCCAACUUUGUUCCAAAGGGUCUCGCCCCAACUUUUGCUUCUCCGCCGGCAUCUAGCCCGGUCCUUACUGUGCCACCUCCAGUCGUGCAUACUUUGCCGAGAGUAGAUGACACCAUUUACCACUCUGAGCCAUCUGAGGACCCAGAUGUCUAUGAGAAAAUGGACGCUAUGAAUGAUCAAUUCCUUGAGCUGCGCAAGGAACUCAAAAAUCUCAGAGGGAAUGACCUCUUUGGCAAAUCUGUUGCUGAGCUUUGUCUCGUACCUAAUGUCAAGAUUCCUGUCAAAUUCAAAGUGCCUGACUUUGAAAAGUACAAAGGACACACUUGUCCGCUCAGCCAUCUUGUGAUGUAUGCACACAAGAUAUCAACUCAGACCGACAAUGAUCAACUCCUUAUCCAUUACUUCCAGGACAGCCUGUCUGGUGCCGCUUUGAGAUGGUACAUGGGUUUGGACAACGCAAACAUCCGCUCCUUCAACGACCUUGGCAAAGCCUUUGUCAAGCAAUACAAAUACAACGUUGAUAUGGAUCCCGAUAGGGACCAACUGAGGGCCAUGUCCCAGAAGGAGAAAUAAACUUUUAAGGAGUAUGCCCAGAAGUGGCGAGAAUUGGCUGCACAGAUUGUGCCUCCGCUAGAAGAGAAGGAGAUGACCAAGAUCUUUUUGAAGACCUUGAGUUCAUUUUAUUAUGAGCGGAUGAUUGCUAGCGCUCCUUCUGAUUUCAUCGAGAUGGUGAACAUGGGGAUGCAUCUAGAUGAAGGAGUCAGGGAAGGGCGCCUGACCAGAGAAGAAGUCUCUUCUGCCAAAUGUUAUGGGGCAUUUGCGAAGAAGAAAGAUGGUGAGGCACAUGUUGUGUCCUCCCAUGGCAAAUCAAGAAGACCCUUUGUGAAGAGGAAGACUGUGCGUCCAGCCAGUAACCAGCACCAGGUGGCUCAUAUAGCACCUGCAUUCAGAGAAAACCAGCAUUCUCAGCAUCAGAACCAGCAACAACAACAUCAACAGUAUCAGCAACAACAGUAUCGUCCUCAACAGUAGGCCUACCAGCCUCGAAACAACAAUCAAACCAGCACGAGCUAUGAUAGGAAGAGGGUCAAUUUCGAUCCUAUUCCAAUGACCUAUGCGAGCUUUAUCCUUCAUUAAUUGAAAGGAAGUUGAUUACUCCACGUGACCCACCUGAUAUACCUACCAACCCUCAGUGGUGGUAUAAGCUUGAGCUUCAUUGUGUUUAUCAUUCCGGCGCUCCCGGACAUGAUGUGGAGAACUGUUACCCUCUCAAGACCAAGGUUCAAGACCUUGUUAGAAGUGGUAUCUUGUUUUUCGAGGACGUAGGUACUAACGUCAAGAAGAACCCAUUGCCCGAGCAUGGGAAAUCUGUUGUUAAUAUGGUUCAGCGUUGCCCUGGCAAAUACAAGGUCCAAUAUGUCAGCCAUAUCCGACAAUCUCUGGUCGAGAUGCAUAGACUGUUAUGUGGAUACAGUCACUACGAGCAUGACCAUAACAGUUGCCGUGUUUGCACUGUCAAUGAGAGAGGAUGUCGUCGAGUCAGAAAAGACAUCCAAGAAAUGCUGGAUCAGGGUGUAAUUGAGAUACUUCAGAAUCGUGAUGAGGACGAAGUGAAUGUGAUAUCACCUAUAUUCAGGAUACCUGACCCUGUUGUUGUCAGAUAUGAUGGCAGCAAGCAGAAGGCUUCUCCCUCUCUGAUUAUUAAGCCAGCUGGCCCUGUUCCGUACUCUUUCGAAAAAGUUGUUCCCUAUCGUUAUAAUGCGGUUGAAUUGGAAGAUGGGAAGGAGGUGCCUAUACCCUCCACUUCUAUUGUGAAUAUUGCUGAUGUCAGUGGAUUGACCCGCAGUGGUCGUGUUUUCUCGGCGCCGCCGAAACCCCAGGCUAACACCAGAAGAGUUGAUACUGUUGAUAGUGUCGUUCGUCCUUUGGGGAAUUAUUCUGUUUCUACGAAUCCGGCACUUGUUGUUAACAGACCUGUCGUUGCUGCUAGAACUCCUAUCCCUGCUGGCCAGAAUGGUAUGAUGAAAGAGGAGUGUGAUGAGAUGAUGAGGCUCAUCAAGAGGAGUGAGUACAAUGUUGUAGAUCAGCUGCUAUGAACGCCUUCAAAGAUAUUUGUGUUGUCUUUGUUAAUGAACUUUGAGCCACACCGUGAAGCUUUGCAGAAGGUGUUGGACAUGGCGUACGUAGAUCAUGAUGUCACCAUAGAACAAUUUGAUAGCAUUGUUGCAAACAUUACUGCUUAUAACAACCUGAGCUUCUGUGAUGCUGAUCUUCCCGAGGAGGGAAAGAACCACAAUUUGGCACUUCACAUCUCUAUGAAUUGCAAGGACGAUGCCUUAUCUAACGUGCUGGUAGACACUGGAUCAUCGCUGAAUAUGUUGCCAAAAUCCACUUUGGCCAAACUUUCAUAUCAGGGGCCUCCCAUGAGGCAAAGUGGAGUGGUCGUGAAAGCUUCUGAUGGAUCCCACAAGACUGUGAUUGGCGAGGUUGAGCUCCCAAUCAUGAUUGGACCUAGUGAUUUCCAGAUCACUUUUCAGGUCAUGGAUAUCCACCCAUCAUAUAGCUUCUUGUUAGGCAGACCAUGGAUUCACGAGGCAGGCGCCGUGACAUCCACUCUACACCAAAAGUUGAAGUUCGUUAAGAACAAAAAGUUGGUGGUGGUAGGGGGAGAGAAGGCUCUCUUGGUUAGCCAUUUGUCUUCCUUUUCUUAUAUUGAUGUCGAGGAUGAGGUUGGGAUGUCGCUCCAAGCCUUGUCUAUUGUUGAGCCUUCUAAGAAAGGAACUUCUUCAUUUGCGUCCUACAAUAAUGCGAAGUUAGCCAUUGAACAUGGCACAACUACUGGUUUAGGACAAAUGAUUAAGCUGGAAGACAAUAAAUCUCGGGCUGGCAUAGGGUAUUCUUCAGGAACUUUCAACAAGCACGGUCUAUUUCAGAGUGGUGGUUUCAUCUACACGGUUGAAAACCAGGAAGCUGCUGCUAUUAUGGAAGAGGAUGCAGAGGAAGAUUCUGGCGACUUUGUCAUCCCUGGAGGAGUCUGCAAUAAUUGGGUCGCUGUUGAUGUUCCAACAGUUAUCCAUAAGUCCACGUAAUGUUCAUUUUUGUUUAAAAACCCUUCUCCCAUGCCAAAAGGAGAAGUGAUGACAUUGUUGGCCCAUAAAUACAAUGAUAUUCAUUCAAUAAAUUCAUGUUAAAUGUUUGUUUUUCCAAAUUAUUUUCACUUUUUACUUUUUGCAUGAAAUUGGUGAUCACCAAAAAACCCUAAAAAAAUAAAAUAAAAUCAAUCUUUUCAUCUGCAUAAUGAUUUGCUUUGUUUGAAUUCUAAAAUCUCUUUUAUAUCCAAAAUCAUUAUGCAGGUUGAUCAAACCCAUUGAACAUAUUGAUCCAACACCAUCUCCCAACUUUGAGUUCCCUGUAUUUGAGGCCGAAGAAGAUGAUGUUGAAGAGAUUCCUGAUGAGAUUACCCGUCUGCUUGAGCAUGAAGAGAAGAUCAUUCAGUCGCAUCUUGAGAAUCUGGAAACAGUCAACUUGGGGUCUGAGGAUUGUGUUCGUGAGGUGAAGAUUAGGGCACUCCUGGAAGAAUCUGUUAAGAAGGGAUUGAUUGAGUUGCUACGAGAAUAUGUCGACGUCUUUGCCUGGUCAUAUGAAGAUAUGUCUGGUCUAGAUACUGAUAUCGUGCAACAUUUCCUGCCUUUGAAGCCUGAGUGUAUGCCUGUGAAGCAGAAGCUCAGAAGAACUCAUCCUGAUAUGGCAGUGAAGAUUAAAGAAGAAGUUCAAGAAAAGCAAAAUUGAUGCGGGGUUUCUGGUGACUUCUACAUAUCCUCAAUGGGUUGGCCAAUAUUGUGCCCGUGCCUAAGAAAGAUGGAAAAGUCCGAAUGUGUGUGGACUAUAGAGACUUGAAUAAAGCUAGUCCGGAAGAUGAUUUUCCUCUACCACAUAUUGAUAUGUUGGUAGAUACAGCUAAAUUCAAUGUCUUCUCAUUUAUGGACUGAGGAUUUUCCGGAUAUAAUCAGAUCAAAAUGGCACCCGAGGAUAUGGAGAAGACAACAUUCAUCACACCUUGGGGAACAUUCUGUUAUCGAGUGAUGCCCUUCGGUUUGAAGAACGCCGGAGCCACGUAUCAACGAGCUAUGACUACCUUGUUUCAUGAUAUGAUGCACAAGGAGAUCGAGGUGUAUGUUGAUGAUAUGAUUAUGAAGUCGAAAACGGAAGUUGGACAUGUAGAGCACUUGUUAAAGCUUUUUCAGCGCCUGAGGAAGUAUAAGCUUCGUUAGAAUUCGAACAAGUGUACAUUUGGAGUCCGUUUCGGCAAAUUAUUGGGUUUUAUUGUCAGUGAAAGAGGUAUUGAAGUUGAUCCUGUCAAGGUCAGAGCAAUACAAGAGAUGCUUGCGCCCAAAACUGAGAAGCAAGUCUGAGGUUUUCUUGGCCGCUUGAAUUAUAUUUCCAAAUUUAUAUUUCACAUGACUGCCACAUGUGCGCGAAUAUUCAAGCUCCUCCGGAAAGAUCAGCGUCAUGGUUGGACCGAGGAUUGCCAAAAGGCCUUUGAUAGUAUCAAAGAGUAUCUGUCCGAGCCUCUGAUUCUGUCUCCGCCUGUGGAAGGGAGACCCUUGAUUAUGUAUCUGACUGUUCUUGAAGACUCUAUGGGUUGUGUAUUGGGUCAGCAAGAUGAAUGAGGGAAGAAGAAGUAUGUCAUUUACUAUCUGAGUAAGAAGUUAACUAAUUGUGAGUCUCGAUACUCAAUGCUUGAGAAAACUAGCUGUGCUUUGGCUUGGGCUGCUAAGCGCUUACGCCAGUAUAUGUUGAAUCAUACGACUUGGUUGAUAUCCAAAAUGGAUCCAAUCAAGUAUAUCUUUGAGAAGCCUGCUUUAACUAGGAGGAUUGCCCUGAAUCAUACGACUUGGUUGAUAUCCAAAAUGGAUCCAAUCAAGUAUAUCUUUGAGAAGCCUGCUUUAACUAGGAGGAUUGCCCGUUGGCAGAUGCUGUUGUCUGAGUAUGAUAUUGAGUAUCGAGCUUAGAAAGAUAUUUAAGGUAGUAUCUUGACUGAUCACUUGGCACAUCAACCAAUUGAGGAUUAUCAGUUAGUUCAGUAUGACUUCCCAAAUAAGGAGAUUCUGUAUUUGAAGAUGAAAUAUUGCGAUGAGCCUAUGCUCGAUGAAGGGCCAGAGCCUGGUUCUCGAUGGAGUAUGGCGUUUGAUGGCGCUGUAAAUCAGUAUGGAAAUGGUAUUGGGGCAGUGAUUAUUACUCCUCAGGGCACACAUUUUCCUUUUACAUCAAGGCUAACUUUCAAAUGCACGAAUAAUAUGGCAGAGUAUGAGGCCUGUAUUAUGGGAUUGGAAGAAUGUAUUGAUCUUAGGAUCAAACAUCUUGAUGUUUAUGGUGAUUCGGCCUUGUUGUUAAUCAGAUUAAGGGUGAAUGGGAGACGAAUCAGCCAGGCCUCAUCCCAUAUAGAGAUUAUGCGAGGAGGAUUUCAACUUUCUUUACUGAGGUUGACUUCCAUAAUAUUCCUCAAGAUGAGAAUCGGAUGGCAAAUGCGCUUGCUUCGAUGAUUGUGGUGAAAUUCUAGAAUGAAGUCCCCAAUAUCACUGUGAUGUGCUUGGAUAGACCAACUCAUGUAUUUGCAGUUGAAGAAGUAAAAGAUGAUAAGCCAUGGUAUUGUGAUAUCAAAUGUUUUCUUUAGAGUCAGAUUUACCCGCCUAGGGCAUCUGUUAAAGAUAAGAAGACUUUGAGGAGAUUGUCUGGAAGUUUCUACCUCAAUGGCGAUAUGCUUUAUAAGAGAAAUUUUGACAUGGUUCUGCUCAGAUGCGUGGAUAGACACGAAGCAGACCUGUUGAUGACUGAAGUCCAUGACGGUUCAUUUGGUACUCAUUCCAAUGGACAUGCCAUGGCUAAGAAGAUGUUAAGAGCAUGCUACUAUUGGCUGACAAUGGAGUCUGACUGCUGCAAGUAUGUAAAGAAAUGCCAUAAGUGUCAGAUUUAUGCGGAUAAGAUUCAUAUUCCCCUGAUACUUCUGAAUGUGAUUUCAUCACCAUGGCCUUUCUCUAUGUGGGAAAUUGACCUGAUUGGCAUGAUAGAGCCAAGAGCGUCCAACAGUCACAAAUUUAUUCUCGUAGCAAUUGAUUACUUCACCAAAUGGGUUGAAGCGACAUCGUAUGAAAACGUGACCAGGCAGGUGUUUGUGAAGUUUAUCAAGAAUCAAAUCAUAUGUCGUUAUGGUGUGCCAAAUAAGAUCAUUACUGAUAAUGGAUCUAACUUGAACAGCAAGAUGAUGAAAGAGCUGUGUAGUGAGUUCAAGAUUGCACAUUAUAAUUCUUCUCCUUAUAGACCCAAGAUGAAUGGGGUUGUUGAAGCUGCUAACAAGAACAUUAAGAAGGUUAUUUAGAAGAUGGUUGUUACGCACAAAGAUUGGCAUGAGAUGCUGCCAUUUGCUUUGCGUGGUUAGACAUUACUCUUUCCAAUAUAUGCCUUAGAAGCCAAGCACCUAAGUUUACCAAACCCAUCUUGGCCUAUUUUUAGGAUGUAGUGCGAAAGUCGUUCAAGUGUAAGAUUUGAUAUGAUUGUUACGCGAUACUACACUCAUAAGAGUCUCUCUUGAGAAUAUUUUUGGAAUACGAGUAGUCGUUUAUCCGAUAAUAUCCUAAGAUGGGAUGAUGACUAUGGAACUCCUUGUAGAACAUGAUUGUCAGGUUUAACCGUAGUACACUCCCUUUGGGUGGUUCUUAACCGAGACUCCAUGCUCGUGACUUGCAACAAACCCUUGAUUCAUGGUUGAUCCGUUCUUGUAUAUCCUUAAUAUCAGUGGAACUUGGGUGUUGAUAAGGUGUAAACCAUAAUCCACUAAAAUGGAUGAUUGAUAUUAAGGAUGACUUGGUCCAUCCCAUGACCUUUGUGUGGUGUGUUUUGCUUGAUCCUUGAGUGUGAUUGUUGCAUCCAUGCAUUCAUGCAUUCAUAUACAUCCAUAUCAUCAACAAUGAGAAAAUUUUCAAAGAACUUAAAAGGUCUAUUUGCAAAUUUUCAGACAUGGAUAAGCAAAGAAGGAAUACAGGGAAGUACAGUUUCAGACAACCCGACUUGAAAGAGUUAAGGAGUUUGACAUCCUAUGUAUUAGAUCCUUUGGAGUUCAAGGCUCGUCAUGCGAAGCUUCUGUCUAUUCUUGCUACUCAUGUGGAUGAAGGUCUGAUGAGUGUGUUGGUGCAGUUCUAUGAUCCCUUGUAUCGUUGCUUCACAUUUCCGGAUUUCCAGCUUUUGCCUUCGCUUGAGGAGUAUGCCUAUCUUGUGGGUAUACCUAUCUUAGAUCAUUUGUCGUUCAGUGGCUUGGAGAGAGUUCCUUCUUCUCAAAGAUUGCUGAUCUGUUGCAUAUAGAUGAAUUGUUGUUGGUGCUCAUAUGACCACCAAGAAUUCAAGGUCUCCCAUCUGAUUUCCUCAUUUCUCAAGCUACUAUGUUUGGGAAGGCCAUGAGUGAGGAUGCCUUUGAGGCCAUAUUUGUACUUCUCAUCAAUGGGCUAGUGUUAUUCCCCAACAUUGACAAUUUUGUGGAUGUGAACGCUAUUAGGAUUUUCUCUACUCUUAAUCCCGUUCCUACUCUGUUGGGUGACACUUACUUUUCUUGGCAUAUGAGGAAUGCAAAGGGUGGUGGUACCAUUGUGUGCUAUUUGCCUCUGUUGUACAAGUGGUUUAUUUCGCACUUGCCACAAACGCUCGCCUUCAAGGAGAACAAAGGAUGUCUACGGUGAUCCACGAGACUUAUGUCUCUCACUAAUGAUGAUAUAACCGUGUAUAUGAUAGUGUGCAGAUUAUUGACUCUUGUGGUGAAUUCUCCAAUGUGCCUCUUCUUGGUACAUGUGGUGGGAUUAACUAAAACCCUAUUUUGGCACCUCGUCAGCUUGGUUUCCCCUUAAAGGACAAACCUGAUAACAUUUUGUUAGAGGGUGUGUUAUUUCAAGAGGGUAAAGAUCCUCAAAACUUGAAGGGCAAGAUGGUCCGUGCUUGGCGCAAGAUUCAUAGGAAGGGAAGGAAAGAGCUUAGUCCGAAGAAUUGUAUUACUUUGGAACCCUAUACCUCGUGGGUUAGGAGGAGAGAUUCUGAGUACCGCAUGCCCUAUGACUACCCGAGACCUACACAUAUGGUUAUGGAUGGGCCUUCAACCCUCCCUAACCAAGGAGUAGAGGAGUUGAGAGAUGAAGACCAUUCGCGUGCUUGGGUCCGUGAGCGAGAGGAGCUACUUCAGCAGCUUAGAGAUAAGGAUGCGUUGAUAGAGUUUCUGGAGCAUCAGAUUAUCGACGAGCCUGAUGAUGUGGUGACUUCUCUUCUUCCUCAGUCUUCCAGGUUUUGGAAGAGGAAGUAUGACCGGCUUGCCAAGGAGAAGGCAGAUAUGGAGGCAGCCUAUGAGAGAGAGGUGAAGAGGCUUCGUGCAGCUUAUCUUCCGGUCUCGAGAGCUUUGGACGAUUGUUUCUAGGGUUCCAUAGGAUGUUCAUUUUUGAGGCAGCCUAUGAGAGAGAGGUGAAGAGGCUUCGUGCAGCUUAUCUUCCGGUCUCGAGAGCUUUGGACGAUUGUUUCUAGGGUUCCAUAGGAUGUUCAUUUUCCUUCUCUCUUGUAUUGUAUUUUGUUACCAAGACUGUACUUCUUGGGUGUAAAACUUUUCCAGAUAUUAUUGAUAUGAUUUUUCCAUAUAUGUCUAAAUGAUUAAUAUUUCCAAAUAUUUUCAAAUAGAGCUCUAAAAGUUCCUCUGAUAAAAAUUUCAAAUCAUAUGCACAAGCAUUGCAUGCAUCAUGUGCAUAAGCAAGUUUUAUUCCAGGGCUUCUUGUUCAGUGGUCUAACUCUGUGUUCUUCAUUUAUUUUGAAGACAAGCGUACGCACCUGUACUACACCAGAGCCAAUACAUCAAAGUUAAUGGAUCACCUAGAGCAAGAGAACAGAGAACUGAAGGAGGAAGUGGCAAGAUUGACUGCCCUGAUGGAGUCCUUCUUGGCCACCCAAAGCCAGUCUUCUCCAACACCUUCAACUCCUCCCCAUAGGACGGUCAUUUCUGAGAUCGCUGCCUCUACCGUGCCUGCUGCCAGGGCCCAUUUUGCGCCUACUGCUAUGCCAACCAGGUUUCCCUGGGGGAUGCCUCCCAACUUUGUUCCAGAGGGUCUCGCCCCAACUUUUGCUUCUCCGCCAGCAUCUAGCCCGGUCCUUACUGUGCCACCUCCAGUCGUGCAUACUUUGGCGAGAGUAGAUGACGCCAUUUACCACUCUGAGCCAUCUGAGGGCCCAGAUGUCUAUGAGAAAAUGGACGCUAUGAAUGAUCAAUUCCUUGAGCUGCGCAAGGAACUCAAAAAUCUCAGAGGGAAGGACCUCUUUGGCAAAUCUGUUGCUGAGCUUUGUCUCAUACCUAAUGUCAAGAUUCCUGUCAAAUUCAAAGUGCCUGACUUUGAAAAGUACAAAGGAAACACUUGUCCGCUCAGCCAUCUUGUGAUGUAUGCACACAAGAUGUCAACUCAGUCCGACAAUGAUCAACUCCUAAUCCAUUACUUCUAGGACAGCCUAUCCGGUGCCUCUUUGAGAUGGUACAUGGGUUUGGACAGCGCAAACAACCGCUCCUUCAACGACCUUAGAAAAGCCUUCGUCAAGCAAUACAAAUACAACAUUGAUAUGGCUCCCGAUAGGGACCAACUGAGGGCCAUGUCCCAAAAGGAGAAAGAAACUUUUAAGGAAUACGCUCAGAGGUGGGGAGAAUUGGCUGCACAGAUUAUGCCUCCGCUAGAAGAGAAGGAGAUGACCAAGAUCUUUCUGAAGACCUUGAGUUCAUUUUAUUAUGAGCGAAUGAUUGCUAGCGCUCCUUCUGAUUUCAUCGAGAUGGUGAACAUGGGUGUAGCACCUCAAGUUUGCACCUACAUUUUGUACAUACAUUUUCGUCAUUAGUUCAUUAACAUAACAUAGUCCACUGCAUAACAUUGCAUUGUCCUUUGCCCAAGUGCAAGAUCAUUAGUCAGGUUAGGUCAAACUGGUCAGGAGAUCAGUCAAUCAAGCAAGCAAGGGCAAUUUUCAUUGAGCCAAGGCCCUAGGGUUGGUCCAACAUGUUCACAUGACCUAGGGGUCCUUUUGAAGUGUUUUGGUCAAGGAUUGGAUGCUCAGAAGUCAUCAGUCAUGGCUCAGUUCACCAGAAACCCUAAAAAGUCAACUGUUGGUCAACUGUGCAUUUAAUCAGUGAUUGGAUGGUGAGAAUUGGUUUGAGAAGGCUCAUUCAUGUCCAUAUAAGCCUCAUAUAACAUGUCAAACAUCAUCAUGGAAGAAUUUGAAGCCAGACAAGAAAUUUCCAAAAAUAGAAAGUUGACCUGUAAUUGGAAUUUGCCAAAAAUGGAAAGUCUUGAUCCUCAAACUUACAUCAUGAUACAAGCUUCAAAUGAAUUUUUGCCCAACAUGAAAGUUGAAUAUCUUGUUCUCCCAUUUCCAAAAAGUCCAAGAACACUCAAUUCCCAUGUAUGGUUGGCAAGUCAUGAUCAAAUCAUUUUCAAAAAUUCUUGAACUUCAAAAGGCCAUAUCUCUCAAACCAUUUGGCCAAAUUUGGUGGGGUUUUUUCCAACAAGUCACAUUUGACCUCCUCUUUCCAAAUAUGUAACCAUCACUCACCAAAACAUCAUAGAUCAAAAUGGCAUUUUUGGACUUGCAUGAAUUAAUUUCAAGUGUAGUGAAAAUUUGACUUUUUAAAAUAAUCAUUUUCCAUCAAAUUGGCCAUUUGAAAUAGUUCAGAAAUUGCAUUUUGGACAUGUUAGAAGCCCAAUUUCGCAGCUGUUAGCACAUGGCCUUGUCAUUUGAGUGGAAUUGCACAAUUAGUCAAAACACCUUCAUUNNNNNNNNNNNNNNNNNNNNNNNNNNNNNNNNNNNNNNNNNNNNNNNNNNNNNNNNNNNNNNNNNNNNNNNNNNNNNNNNNNNNNNNNNNNNNNNNNNNNNNNNNNNNNNNNNUGUUUCAUCAACAUCCUUCCAUGGCAGAUAUUGGUUGCAGCUAGUAGCAAGAUUGUUGAGCCAAAAUUCCUUAGCCAUACACCAUCUAGAGCAUCGUGGUUCAUCUGUUUCAACCAUUUGAGGCCAAGUAACCACGAUCCAACUCAGCUCUUCAAAUCUGGUAUGUACUUCGAAUCUCUCAUUUAUUGAAAUGAUGCUAUCCUUUGUGUAGAUCUUGCCAUGCUUAUUGUUUUGAGCUUUGAACCAAGAAAAAUGGUUGAGUAUUUACAAAGUUAUGCUGAAUGGAAACUUGAUAUGUGAAUGAUGUUUUGCGUAGUUCUUCCAUUGCUAGCUCGAUUUCAUGAUUUUUGAUGUUAGGAUGUUGAUGAGGGUUGUUUAGUGGUUCGAUUGCUAUGCUUGAUUUCAUGUUCUGGGCAAAUUAAUUUUCCACGAUUGGUGAAGAAGAUGAUGAUAUGAACUGUAGCUUCACAAACCCUAAAAAAUAAACCCAGAAAUCGUGUUCUGCAUUUUGGCUUUUGUUUGCAUGAAAUUGCCACUGUUUUAUUGCCAUGAGCGAAUGGUUGCUUGCCACGUCUGGGAGUGCUGCGCACCGUUUCAUUAAAAGGUCUCAAUAAUUACCAAUAUGCCAUUGCCGGAUUAAUUCUUAUUUAAAUCAUAUUAUUUCUUCAAUAUUCAUUUCAUUUGUUACACCAAUUUGCAAAAAUCAUAUCUCAUCCAUUUGUGAUCCAAAUUUCAUAAAAUGUUUUGCAUUAUGCUCUGCUUGAUCUCUACUUAUUAAUCAUGAUUUUUCCUGAUUUUUUAGAUAAGUGAAUUUUAAAUGGUGCUAGGGUUUGUGACAUGUAUCCAUAUUUUGUACCUUUUACCAAAACACUUGUGAAAUGAUGAUGCAUUAUCCUAUGGCCUUGAAAUUUUUUAUUCUCAAACUAGACACAUUCAUGGUGAUUUUCGUGUAGAGUUUAGGAAUUUAUCAUCUCUGGUUGUUGAGUUAUGAUUUUUUGAAGCAGGGUGUGACAAUUUGUGUCACACCAUUGAUGUGCAACUUGAUGAUUUUCAAUACCAUGCCUCUGGACCUCAAAUUGGAUUGAAUUUUUGCAUGAAUGUACUUGAGUUACUCUAGUAUUACAUGUGAUGUUUCUUUCGAAAUUUACCAUUUCNNNNNNNNNNNNNNNNNNNNNNNNNNNNNNNNNNNNNNNNNNNNNNNNNNNNNNNNNNNNNNNNNNNNNNNNNNNNNNNNNNNNNNNNNNNNNNNNNNNNUAACGGUAGUAGAUAAUACAUCUCAUGCGCUCUUCAGUCAAAGCCUUUUUCUUCCCCAAUCGAGUAAGAUUCGUAUUUCCUUGUGGAAUCGAAUGGCCAUCCUGUAAGUCGAGUUUGCUUUUUCAGCCCUCCUUUCGGAUGAUGGGUGUCUUGGAUAUGUCCCAAUUCACGCCUGGUUGGUCACCUAUUAUAUACCCAGCAACCGGUAUCCCUGGUGUUCCUUCCUUCUGCUCCCUGUUAUGACUUUUUGUCCCCUGUGGAGUCAGAUUUUCCUGAGUUGAGAUGUGCCUUUUGGGUUCUCCUUAGAUGUUUCGGAUGAUUGGUAUCUUUCACCCUUUGAGUUUAUUAUCCAGUAACCUGUAAUAUCUCGUUGUUUCUUCCUCAGCUGAGUCCUUUAUGGACAUCCCCGUCUGAGUCCGGAUUUCAUCCGAUGUAUCCUUUUUGGAUAAUUUUGUUGUAUUGGCACAUUCCCCAAUACAUGCAUCUUUGUGUUAGCUCGAGUCUUUCCAUCAAUUUAUUUUCAUGGAACCCCUUCGCGUCUCCCAGCAAAUUUUCAAGUCGUGACCUUCUCACGCAUUUUUACCUUAUUUCCCCCCAGAGUCUCUGUCUCCCUAGUGAGUGUGUUACUCAUAUGGAUCUUCAGCGCCCCCGAUUUCUUUUUCUUUGUGGAAAUUAUUCACCACGAAGAUUUUUGUUUUGCAUACAUACAUUUGCAUCAUGAGGUCUCUUAGGGACCAAAAUUCGUCUCUUUGCUAUUAUUUAAGCUCAUUCUAUCUCGUCAAGAUGAAGAUUUAAACCUUCAUAUCUCUGGCUAGAACGAACUUAAAUAGGGGCAUCUGUAAGACCCUAAUUAUGACCCUAAGAUCCCUCAUGACAUCAUGUUAUUGUACAAGUGCAUUGUCUCAAGGAUCAUAGCAUGUUUGGCUCCUUAACCCUAGGGUUGGGACUUGUUUGAGUGUUUUGAGACCACCAAGCAUGCUUGUAUUGUAUAUUAUUGCUUUUCUUAUUUGAUUACUAACCAAAAUCACAAGAUUAUGUCACUAACUCUUUUUGUUUUGAAGCUCAAGUGAUCAUGUGCUCCACAAUUUCUAAGAGGCUCCUAAGCCCAAUGCAAUGGCUAGAUGAAGAUGAGAAAAAGCAUGAAAAUGGUCCACAAAGUUUCUAAUCAUCAUAUAUGUCUCCCAAGUAUCUCAAUUUUCCAAUUUGAUCAAGAUAACCCAAAGGGCUUGAAGAUUGUUUCCCAAGGAAACCCUAAUUUCACUGUGCUUUUAUUGUGCCUUGCCCAUGAAGCAAUCUCAACCUAUGAUCAAAUUUAAUCAAGGGAAGUUAUUUCAUUUAUCAUUUUAUGGAUAUAUGAUCCUAUUUUAGGCCCCUCAAUCAUUCAUUCAUCAAGAAUUGGAAGUUUUGCCUUGAAAAGUUGACCAGUCAAGUCAUCUAACUAAGCUGAGGUCCAAUGAGACAUAAUUUUUGAUAUGUUUGUCAAAUGAAGAUGACCCCAAGAGAAAAUAUGUUCCUAAGAACCAUAUGAACAAAUUUCAUGUUCAUCAAAAAUCCAUUUGAAACUUGGAAGGUCAUCAUUCAUUUCAAAAAAGUAUACAUCAUUUUGACUAAAACCCUAAUUUUGGGUCAAUUUACCAAGGACGUAACUUCCUUAAUUUUUAUGAUUUUGAAGUGAGACCAAAUGCAUUGGAAAUAUUGAGAUGUCUAAUUCAAAUUAUAUGUUGGAAAAAAUUUCAUAAUCCUUAAAUAAAUACAUGUGAUAAUGAAAAACAUUAUAGGUCAUCUUGGACCUAAUUCAUUGAAUUUGAAAAAGUACUCAACUUCAAGUGCCCAUAACUUUGUCAUAGAAAAUCCAAAUGAUGAAAACGUUCUGUCCUAAUUAUAAAUGCUUCAUUUGGAUUUGGUUUCUACCACCAUCACCACGUGUGCACUUUUGUGACCCUUGGAUUUGGUUUCCACGAUCUAAUCUCACACUUCCAUUUCAAUUACUUCAUUUAAUGCACGUUGUUGCGCGUUUGACUCAAGCCCAGCGUGUGUCCUUAGAUCUGGACCAUCCAUAAGCGCCACGUCAACUAAUGAAAUCCAUCAUGUGGUUGUGCAUUUUUCGUUUAUUCCAUUUUCUUUUUUAUUUUCUAUUAAUUCCUUUUAUUUUCAAAAUUUUAUAAAAAAUUUAUUUGAAGUCAUAAAAAUAUGAGACCAACUCCAAACUUUUUCUUGAAAAAUCUAGUUUCAUAUUAUGAUUUUUAAUUAUUUUUGUUACUUCAUCAGAUAUUUUUUAUGAAUUACUUGUUUUUUUAUUGGUUUUAAUUCAUUUUAAAAUACUUUCUGAAUUUUAAAAAAUCCAAAAAUAUUUUCAUAGCAUCUAUGGCCCAUGAUAAGUCAAUGAAAAAUAGUCUCAACAAUUUCUUAUUUGAUUUGAGAUUAUUUGAGAUUUUAAUUAAUAUUAUGCUAUUUUUAGUUGUUUUUAAUUGUUUUUAAUUACUUUCUGAUUUCAAAAAUAUGUGAGAAAAUUAGUCAAAGCUUGUUUGACUACGUUGAACCUAUGAGAAUUUAAUUGGACUUUUUGAAGUUGAUUUGAAUUGAAUUUGAGGUUCAACCUUAUUUGUUUAUUUUUAUUUGCAUUUUAUUUUAAUUCAAAAAAAUACAAAAAAAUAUUGUUGAUUUAUUGAUUUGUUAUCUUCAUUUCUCUUCUGUUUGGUGUUGAUUGAUGUUGAUUUGAUUCACAUUUGAUCAAUUGGAAUUGAUUGUUGUCUUCCUUUCCCCUCCCUUUCAUCUUCAUCCCUUUCUUUCCAUCAAUGGCCAAUGAGUUAAAGUCUUGAAGUUGGUCUUGACAAAUGAGAAGUUUAACCUUCUUUGAUCCAAACUAAACUCAACUUGAUCCAUGAUCAAGUGAGUUGUUUUGUGUCCAAGAAAGGUUGCUUCUUGGUCAAGCAAAUAACUAAAAGUCAAUACAAGGCCCUUCCCCUUUUGUUUGGCAUGGCAAGUUUAUGGAGCUUGGCUUACUAGUCAUGAUCUCUAACUUUUGUUCUUUGCCUAUAUUCUUAUUGACCGGCCUCAGAUAGGUGUGACUACUACAUUAGUUCACUUACGAUUGCUUAACAUAGCACUACAUUGUCUUAUGACAAGCUAACAUAACCACUAAAUACUAACUUUAAUUUGAGCUUUUAAUUUCUUGUCAUUUACUUUUAAUGUCAUUUAUUUUUUGCUCAUUAUUCAUAUUGAUUUUCAUCUUUGCUCACUUGAGCACAUACUUUAUGUUUAUGUCAUUUUUCCUUUGCUCAUUUGAGCCCAUUAUUGUAUACAAAUUUAUUGCUAUUUUGUGUUGUUUGUGUUUGUUUUGAUGUGGACCAAAUGAAAAAAGGAGAAAGGACUUAGAAUUAGGAUUUACCUAUGCUUAAAGGAGUUCAAGAGCAACUAGGUCUCAUGCCUUUAGAAUGCAAAAAUUUGUUGAAGAGCAACUAGGCCUCAUGCCUUUAGAAUGCUAAAACUCAAAGUUGACUUUAAAGGACUUCUCCUCCAAACUUAUUCUUUGUCCAUUCCCUUUAUUGUGUUGUGAACUUUUUGAUGUUUGCUUUUAUGUGAUAGGGAUCCCAUCUUAAGAUUGUGAAAAGAGGACCAUUGUCAUGACUAGCCAAGUUAAGAGCCAAGCAAAAUGGAGAUCCUAGGAGCUUGAAUUCAAUUUAUUGAUUGCUUGUUUGUGUGCUAAGUCCAAAGGAAAGGAGCAUCUUGAGUCAUCUCUAUGGCUUCAAGAAAAGCAACUCCAGGGGUUUUUAUUUCCACUCUUAUCUUUGUAUGCUUUAGGAAUAUCCCUUCUCUUCUUCUCCCCACUCUAACCAAGCCAAAAACCAUUUGCAAAACUUUGACCUUGUUUCAAAUUAGAAACCUAGGCCUUAAGCCUUUGACUUUUCAAAACUAUUUUCAUAAAUACUCAUUAUGAAUAAACUUUAAUCCAAACUUUGAAUUCAUUUUGUAAAUAAGUCUAACUUGUGAAUACAAUCCAUUUCAAGUUGUUUUGUGGUUCCAAUGGACACUUUCUAAAAUCUUUCAAAAACACUAGUCAUAGGUUUGAGUUAUCAUAGUGGUUGAUGUAAAUCUCACCUCAUCCUUAGUGUGGGAUUAUAAGUCUUCCAUGCUUAUUAUAGGGUUAAGCCCUCACUAGCAUGUUGAAGCCUUCCUCACAUGGUGGAUUGUUUGUUUAGGUUGAGUUUUCUCCCUUUGAUAACAAAAGUACGUAAGGCUUUUGAUUAAAAUCAAUUCACCCAUCUUUGAGAUUUUUACCCCGAACUACGAGGUUUUGAUCCUCCUUUGUGAUGGUACGUACGCAAUGGGUUCAUCCAUUCAAACAACAAAAUUUGUAAAUAUAAUCUAUUCUCUUCUCAUCCCCCCAAUCUUUUUGUACAAAUCUUUUCACAAAUACCAACCUACAACACAUAUUCGCAAGAAGAGGUUCCCUUAGAGUACUAAGGAUGCUUUGGGUGCUUAAAACCUUCCCAUUUCAUAACCAACCCCCUUACCUAAUUCUCUGACAUUUUUAUUAGUUUUUUAUUUGAAAAACUUCUUCUUUGGCUUUUGUUUGCUAUUUAGCCUUUCCUUUGGACAAAUAAAAGUGCGAAGGCGACUCGAAUUUUAUGUUGACUUUUGGUUUAGUCAAUAAACCUAAAGGUAACGAAAACCCCGCUACACAUCGGUAUCAUUAGAAACCUAGGCCCGGAUGUGUUUGAAUUCUUCAUUAACAGCCAACCAGUACACCUGUUUACCCUGCCAUACCCUAGGAUGGGUGUACAUGAUAGGAACAACUGACUCUAUGAUUUGGAUGGACAAUCACCCCAAAUCCAUGCUAACCCUGACAAUUAUCUCUCUGAUGCUGAAUCACAUGCCCCGGUUAUACCUGUUGCACCUCUCACCGAUCAUGCUACUGCCAUCGAAGUUGUUCAGACAGAUAUCGCCAAUCUGAGAGGCGAGUUGAGUACCCUCCGCGUGGAAUUCCACGGCUUUGUAGAUGUAGUAACAGAGAACCUGGAUCACAUUUACCAACAUUUCUACUCGUUCUCUCCUCCUACCAGGAGUCGCCAUAAUGGAUGAUUUACUAUAGAGUUAUCGAUUUACUGACUUUCAUUUUAUUUUAUUUUCAUGUUGGAAUUUUAUUGUUAUUUACUUCUACACAUUGGAAUUUAUUUAAUUACUUCAGUCCCUUUUAUUUCGGUAGACAAAUUUUUUCAUCUUUUCCCGUCUACCCGAUUCUUUUAUUCGUCAAUGUUGCGAUUAAAUUCCAUUCCAAUGUAGCAUGUUUAUUAUUCACAUACACUAUAUUAUUGGUAAAUUAAAAAUUGCAUGGUCAGAGAAAAAAUAAAAGCACACGCAUGGGAAACCACACUACAUGUGGCGCAUGCCACAGACAGUUGUGGCGCCCGCCACAGGGCCCUAGUGGCGCCUGCAACACGCAUGGGAAACCACACUACAUGUGGCGCAUGCCACAGACAGUUGUGGCGCCCGCCACAGGGCCCUAGUGGCGCCUGCCACACACACCAAAAGUGGCGUAGGCCACUACACAAGCCUGCACGCGCAGGCUGUGUACUUUAGUCCAUUCAACUCACCUUUAUUGUGAUGUUCCUUGCAUGCAGACAAUUUCUUAAUGCCAUUCAACCAAUUUCAAAACUCUUCGACCAAGGCAUUGACUAUGGUAAAUGCUAUUUAUUUACCAAUUAAUUUUCCAACCACCUUCACCUCUAUAUAAACCACCAACGUUACCUCAACAAUUCACAACUCUUAUUUACAUAUUUCUCUCCUCUCUUGCUCUAUUGUCACUCUAAUACACAAAGAGUGUGAAAUCCAUUAUGGCACAGAUGAGGGAAUACGAAAUAGUGUUCAGAAAUGGCGAGCCAGGCGAAUUACAAAAGGAGACGUACAUGUCUCUAAGCGCCAGAAAGAUCAAAUCAACAAGGUAUGCCGAUGAACAUUGUUUAUAUGCCUUAGGAAUUCAAGAUAAUGCUAACUCUAUGCUAUAUACGUUAAAUUUAAAUUAUUUUCUAUCUCUUAAGGACCCUGUCUAUGCUCAACUAACAUUAGAAUUCCUGAGUUCAUUAAUUUUUAGUCCCACACCCAACACAAACUUCUCUAAUGGGACUGUCCAGUUUCAUUUAUUUAACGUCGAAUAUGCCCUUACAUUUUCCCAACUGGCGGACCUGCUACAUUUCCCCCAUGGGGAUGACGUAGUAAGUGAGGUCCCAGAUACUGAGGGUUGACAACACGCUUUCCAACCAUUUUGGAGGGCACUAAUCGGUACAGUAACCCAUAGUUUUGAGGGAAACAGAGCCACUUUAAUUCAAAAUCCGACUAUUUGAUAUUUUCGCCAAAUAUUAGCGUGCACCAUUUUUGGCCGAGCAAAUUCUAACAAGGUGAACGAAAAAGAACUCUUCUAUUUGUUCGCCACAUUUUUGCCAUAAAAGGUGAAUAUCGUCCCGUUUAUGUUAUCUCACAUGCAAUCCAUUGUCAAUGCGAAGCGAGGGCUGAUUAUUUUUGGAGGUUUAAUAACCUCCCUAGCCAGAGUCCUAGGACUCGAAGAAAAAUUCUCCAGGCUAACCCCGCUCCCGCAUCAUGCAACUGACAUUGACAUGGCAAGGAGCAUGAAACUAGCAAAACGAAGGAGUGACGGUAGAUUUAAUUUAAUAAUUGCAAAUAAUGUCUUAAAAGAUUUCAUCCUCCCUAAUCCAAAUCGCACAGAUGUGCGUAACCCGGAUAAUUAUAUUUAUACAAAUGAUCUGGUGCCUAACCAAGUCCCCACGCACAUUCCUGAGAAUGUAGUUGCUGGCGGGGACACUGAUGAAGAUCAUAUUCCGAAGCAAACUACUCCUGCUACUGACCUACACACCACACACACUUUAUUUGAAAAUGUUGUAGGUACAUCUUCCAGUCAGAGACCAAGAAGAAAUGUGGCACCAGCCACUCUUGAUAAGAUCUAUGUUGAACUAUUGUGGCAUAGAGAAUUAGACGCUCAACGAGACCUAUAAAUCCAAACCAUGGGAGCUCAGCAAAUCCUUCUUCAAAUGCAGCAUGAUCAGCACGAAUAUGCCUUAAGGGUCGAACAAAACAUGUCUGGCUUGAUCGAUGAAAUAGCAACACUGAUAAUGCAUGUGGAAGAUCUCCAGAACUAUACGUCACCUCACAAGCCAGGGAAUGGUGGAUAUCCAUGUACACGUGGCAGAAGGCGUCAGUAGCAGAAUAAACCAGGUUCUACCAUUCUUUCCUAUCUUAUGUCAUUGCAUUGGGGACAAUGCAAGAUUUAAGUAUGGGGGAGGAAGCUUAACCGCUCUUUAUUUUACUGUUUUCUAGUUAGAUUUAUAUCAUUGCUAUUUCUUUUUGUUAUUUUAUAAUUUUUAUGGUUAUUUUAAUUUUUGUUAAAGUGUCAGUCGAGUUAAAUAUCAAUGUGUUGUCGAGUCUUUAUGCGUGAUUUCCAUUAUUUACUGAUUCUCUUGUUUACUUGAGCCAUACAAUUUUUUUUGCAAAAAUCUAGACUUAUAGAUACAGUGCAUCUUUUGAAAUAUCUGAACAAUAAAUCAAACUGAGGUUGAAUUGUAGAGAUUUGGAAAAGCUUUAUAAGAUUGGUAUCGCUUUAACACCUUAAAUAUCCCAAGUAUUAGAUCGAUUUGAGCACUUGUCAUGUCAUACCCUUAAAUUCUAUCAUUUAAUAUUUCCUUAAGUAGUUUAUCUAGCAGUCAGCACCAUCCUAAGCACACACUACACAAGAAGUCGAUGCAAAUAAGUGUAUGAUUUUCAGGCUUAAAAUAAGAAAAGAUUACAAAAUGUAUGAAAAACGUUGUUCCCUCUAAGUUAGGUGACCCUCACCCGGUCAUUUAGCUCAACGGUAUAACCAUUUUCAAAUGUUAUUUUAGCCAAAGUGCGAAAAAGAAAGAAAGAAAUAAUGAUGAGAUCAUAGUCACUAACAGACUAUCUUGCUAUGAAUGUGAAAGGAUAACGGGCUUAAUGUGAUUGCGCUAGAAUGAAAAAGGAUAAAAAUAAGGUUUAGUAAGGUAGGCUUAGGCAUGACAACAUGAUUCGGAUUGGUUUGUAUAGGAGGGAGACUUAUGGUUGCAACAUUGUGACUGAGUGUUCUAACGAUACCCUUAGUGUGGAAGUGAGUAAUAUAAAUUUGAAACAAAGUAAAGUUUAUAGACUAGAAUGAGUAUCCGAAUGCAACUAGGUUUUUUACGAGUCUUGAUAAUGUAUGUUGUAAAUAUUUUACAAAACUUUUUAUUCAUGUACGCGGCAUUUGCUUGAGGACAAACUAUAGUUUAAGUAUGGGGGAGUUUGAUAACGCGAAAAUGUAUUGUAUUUUUGGCUCUAUAUGCACUACUUUUUACUCGAUAAACACUAUUUAUUACACAAUAUUUUGU
RNAcentral lists this long non-coding RNA (66093 nucleotides) under Lathyrus oleraceus (garden pea). RNAcentral describes it as "Pisum sativum (pea) long non-coding RNA (PSAT_LNC021291)". Lineage: Eukaryota; Viridiplantae; Streptophyta; Magnoliopsida; Fabales; Fabaceae. The record is from RNAcentral.